RNAcentral lists this long non-coding RNA (64327 nucleotides) under Coffea arabica (coffee). RNAcentral's name for it is "long non-coding RNA (CARA_LNC000292)". The record is from RNAcentral. Lineage: Eukaryota; Viridiplantae; Streptophyta; Magnoliopsida; Gentianales; Rubiaceae.
UUUUUUUUUUUUUUUUGCGGUUCUUGGAUUAUGGACAUCAUACCACCUGGGUGGAGUUGUUAGCCAGCAGAGGCCCCAACGUGUUUAGUCCAUGAAAUUGGAAUUUGGGGCCCCAAGUACUUGCCGUUUUAUAAUUCAGGGAAAUUAUCCUGCAUACAGCAGCAUGUAAAAUUUGCAGUGAAUCAUAUGAACUUUUGAAGCUAUUUUUGGCAAGAUUUAACUAAUGUGACUAUACAUCAAUCUUAAAAUGAAAAAUUUGAGACACCAAUCUUGCAUCUAUGAUAAAGUUGCUCCCUACCUAAUAUAUUUUAGACAGGACAUGAAAUUUUCAUUGGGUAAUGUCCCUCGUAUCUGAUAGCUACAUCAUCUCCACCAUAAUAUUUCUCUAAGUAAUGAUGCAACAAUGUUUGGUUUUGCUGAAAAUUGUACUAUAUCCCACACCAAAAAAGAUGGUUAAAGAAGAAAUGAUGAUAUGGAGAUUGGGAAGAAAAGCACCAUCAUUUUCAGUAGAUGCAACAACCAUAUCUUUUGGAAUGUCGACCUUUGAUGCAGAAAUUCUUGAACAAAAAAUAUGAUCAAGUAUAAUUCAAUCUUAUAAAUGGUCCAAUCCAAGUCAUGAUCGAUUGGAUAGGAGUAGUUGACAAUGGUGGAAUUGGAAAUCCAUUGGCUUCAUUCACCUUUGUGUUUUCAAACGGUUGUUGCAAGUGGUGUCAUCAUGGAGCUAAACAACCAUGUAUGUUCAAAAUUUCCUUGGCUUUGAAGCGAAACAAUUACAAGAAUCAUGCUUUUAUGGAAUGUGAAUUUAUUCAAGGCAAUACGCACAAAAAAAAAAAAAAAGCUUGUACAAUAUGUAGUCAUGCAAACAAAAGAUCAAUAAGACAAGACAGCAAAUUGCCUUGUUAAAAACUCAUGUAUGAUCACAAAAAGAAAAGAGGAGAAAGUAUGUGAGUUGUAUGUAAUCUUGUCAAUAAAAAGAUGUUGGGUUUUUUUUUUUCAAUAGAUAUCCAAUAGACACUUUUUAAUACACUUAAAUCGCAUUUAAAUUUUUAUGUAAAUUCACAAACUCACAAUUAUUGUCCUGAUUUAUAUAUCUUUUUCAAUUUAACUUUAUUUUUUAAAAAAAAUUAAAAUCUGACUCGUCAUUAGCAGUUUAGCACAUACAUGAUAUGGCUAAAGUUUUCAUAGACGAAAAAAAUUCACUAAGCGUUAGAGGAAGUAUACAACUAUAUAUUAACUCAACUACAUUGGUUGUUUGAAUCACAAUUUUUGAAGAGUUUUUGGAGAAAAUUUAGUAUAGUACUUUGAUGCGUGCAAAAUUACUAUAGUAUUUUUUGAAUUUUUUUAUUUUUAAAAUUACUGUAGUAUUUUUUUUUAAUGAUUAGAAAACGUGCAAAAAGAAAAUUCACAAAAUAACGUAAACUUUGUCCCAAAAAUCAGCAAUCCAAACAGGGUAUAAGAGUAAAGUGUUUGAUAUUUUUUGCAACCAUUCCUUAACACUGAUGUCUAGGAUAUUCUGAGAUUCUAUGGCAGCUUCUUAAAGGGACCAAAGGACCUACUAAGAAUCAACUUUUUAUUAAUUAAUAGAAAGUCCUUUACUCUAUCUAUAUUCUAAUAUUCCACAACUCUCCAAUCUUUUAUUUCAUUUAACGUUUUUUAUAGCACAUAUGGGAAUUGGUCUUGAAUACGUAUGGUAGAAGGGAAGUCCCCAUCUUAUCAUGUGAUGCGACCACUCACCUAAAGUAAUUAGCCUUUCGCAUCAUUUGCCUUUAACAAGCUCUGAAUUUGUAUAGCUGAUUAAAACUGCCCAUACUAUUUGCAUUUGGCAAAUAGUAGUAUUGCAUUUCUAGUUUCAUUUUGUAAGUAAUACUUUUUAGCAAUGUAUGAUGUGUAACACAUAUGCAUCUCAUAAUUUUAAUAGGGUUAGUAAUAUUACAGACAUUUGUAAUUUUUGACGUCUGAGAUUUAACAAAAUUCUAUAUUGUACUAAAGUUAUAAAAUGGUCGUAAUACGCCAAUAGUACAUAAAAUUCAGAGACAAAAAUUUACCCUGUUUGAAUUGCCAUUUUUUCUCAAAAAAUUUUUACAUUUUUUAUGAAUGUAUUUUUUAAUUACUUGUUUAUGUCACAUACGUUAAUUUGAUACAGUACAUUUUUUUAAAAAAAAAACUCUAAAAAAUAGGAGAUGUUGACAAAAGUUUACUACUUAUUUAUUGUUAUUAUUAAAGAAAUGGCGUACUAGGAAGUAGUUCAGUUUGUCCCAACUUAAAAUAAAUGCUUUUGAACGGACACGUGGUUGAUGACAUUGUGAAAUUGUCCUAAAGUUAGCUCGUAGUCAAGCUCUAUCCAUAUCCAGAGGAGAGGGGAAACCACACCAAAUGGUGCAGUGAAAUGUGUCCGGUGUAUUAGGUAGAUUUCUAGUUGUACUGAAUACUAAUCUUAAAUUCUAUCUUCUGGAAGUAAUUCUGUAUUUAGGAUACAAAGCAAAUAAUUACUUAAUUUUUUUGGUAAAUAAAAUGCUAAUUAUUUGCUGAGUUACAUGAUAUGAACAAAAGUUGCAAAUUGUCUGCAGUAUCUCAGGUCUACAAGGGUAGUUAAUUAGGCAUACUAAACUUAGACUUAACUUGGACUAUCCAUUAAAAAAGAAAAAACUUGGACUAUCUAUAAUAAUUUCUCCCUUUCUUGGAAAACCAUUUUCCAUCACCUUCGCUGAUGAAACAGGAAGAGUCUCGUCAAACUCUGAUCAUUUCAAGAUAAUUUUUUAUUAAGAAACACAAAAAUUAAAAUGGAUAUAAUAAACUGAAUGGUAAAUAUCUGUAAAGAAAUUUAAUGAUUGUGUACCAUCUUUACUGCAGAAGGCACAUGCAGAGGACAAGAAUAUUAAUUACACAAUUAAUGCAAGCAAAUUGUUUCAAGAGGCUGUUAGUCAUUCCUAAGACUUUAAAGUCUUGGUGUCGUAGGUGAGAGGUCAAGGGUUAAAUCCUUGUCUCCCACCUUGCCAUUGAACGUGGCUGCUUUCGACGGGUUUCCCGUCAGUUAGGUUCCCUUUCACAUUUCCCUGAAUUAGGUUAAAAUAGGUUAUACUAAUACUAUUGCUGUGACUAAAAAAAAAAAAAACAAACAUAUUGUUCCAACUCCCUUUUAUGAAGACUUAUUUAAUUUUUUUAUAUUCUUUAAAAGAAUUAAACGUUAAAUAAAUUCUCGGUCAGAUAUCAAGCAAAAUGUUUGAAAUUGAAAGAAGACUGCUAAUUUGAGAAGAACAUAUAGGUUUAUAGCAUACACCUCAUUUCUUAUCCAAAUGGCUAAAUUUCUACAAUCCUUGUUCAUGAUCCCUUUGAAAACUCAAAAAAAGUAAAAUUAAAUAAGAUCCUAUAUAAGCUUACCCAAUCAAACUUGUAUUGAUGAAGCAAUUUUGUCCAAUUUCUAUAUCUGUAAAAUAUGGUCUUGAAUCCAACUCAUCUGGUUAGACAUAUUCUUUGAUGUUAUGAUGAGAACUGAGAGAAAAUUGAGUAAUUGUGCAACUUACCUCAUAUGCAUGGCUAUUUCAUAUCAAUUCAUAGUUCUUUCCAUAGCCAAGAGGUUGGUGCCAAAGAAUGAUGCCAAUAAAGUUACCAAAUGUCAUCCAUGAGCGUGUGAAACAAGAAGGGCCCCUCCCAUAAUUCGUGAAUCCCGUAGCCUUUGCUUAGACGCAUCUGCCCUAAAAGAUAAGGUCACACUGCAACAAACAAACAAAUGCCCUUGGCUUUAUUUCCACCGUCCACUUCAUUUUUGCACAAUCCCCACAUUUUUUGUAGAAGAACACUUCCAUAUCAUGUUCUGUGUAAAAAUUGUGUGUUAUAAAAACCACAAUUUUCACCUCCCAUUAGCAACGCUAACAUUUCCUUGAUCAUAACAACAAUUAAUUAAUUAUUUCAUCACAUUUGACCCACAAUAUACAACACUAUUUUCUGGCUUACUUCUACUUAAUUUUUUAAUGUACUGUCCUACCAUAGUAUGUAUAAGAUCAAAUGCAUGAAUACUCUUUUAUAUGCCUUUUGUUUCUACUAGAGCUAGUAUUUUGCUUUCAUAACCUUCAUAUCCUAAAUGCCCCUCCACUCAAUCCUACUCCCAAUGAAUGCUAUAUAUGACACGACAAAACAUAGAUAGCGAUCUCUCACACUCUCAAAAAUCUAGAAGCAUACCACAAAGCUAAGCCAUUUACCAAUACCAGCCAUUUCCAUCUUUCAACCAAAUCUCCUCCCCCUAACUAAACCCUAUUGCCGGAAACCACCCUCUUCCAACACCCUCCAAACCACCAUUAUGUCGGCCAAGGACUGCGGCCACUACGAGCAUGAGCAACGGAAGCUCUUCCGCCGCCUAUUCGUGGCCUUACUCGCCUUUCAUCAUCCUCAUUCUCUUCAUCAUUCUCCUUGUAUGGCUCAUCCUACGUCCCACAAAACCACACUUCCUCCUACAGGACGCCACCGUUUACGCCUUCAACGUCUCAGCUCCAACUUGCUCACGUCCAACUUCCAAAUCACGCUUUCUUCUCGCAACCCUAAUGACCGUAUUGGCAUUUCUUACGAUAGACUUGAUGCCUAUGCAUCCUACCGUGGCCAACAAAUCACGUUGCCAACUUUGCUGCCUUCUACUUACCAGGUCACAAGGAUAUUACGGUUUGGUCCCCAUUCUUGUAUGGAAAUUCAGUUCCUAUUGCACCAUAUUAUACCGAUGCUUUAACUCAAGAUCAAUUUGCUGGGACGGUUUUGAUCAACAUUAAAGUUAAUGGAAGAGUUAGAUGGAAAGUUGGUACGUUUAUCUCUGGAAGAUACCGUUUAUACGUUAAUUGUCCUGCCUAUAUAAAUCUUGGAAAUCGGAAUUCUGGCAUUAUGGUUGGACCAGCGAUUAAGUAUCAAUUGGUGCAGAGCUGCCAUGUUGAUGUUUGAACGAGUUCCAAUUUCGUGGCUCAACCGCUCAAGGUGAAGAGUUAUUUCCACUAUCUUUUCUUUUCAUCAAUUCGAAGAAUUAAAUUCUUGUCAAUUGGGAUUAUGUAUGAAUUUACAGUGGUUAAUUUUAACCCUUUUACUCAAUUUGUAGUUUAAAAUUUUAUAUUUGUAGUAUGUACAAUGUAAUUGGUGGAAAAAAGAAAUGUUUCGUGAAUAAAUGGAGCUGCCCCACGACAAACCCCUGCUUCUAGUUCGAUAAUUGUUUUGGAUGCAUGCACGCUUGUGAUUCCCUUUUUUCUUUUCUUGUUAGUUCUUGAUUGUGGGCAGUGCACAGAAAUAUAGACUUUGUGUAAUUGAUAUACAUAGGCAAAAUGCAAGAUGCCAAGAAAAGGGGCAUAGUUGCUCAUUAAUGGUCCCGUAAAGGCAACUUUAAAAUAUGGAACAAUUUCUUCUUCUUCUUCUUUCUUUUUUCUUUUCCUUUUCCUUUUGAGAGGAAGUGCUGAAAAAUUCUUGGGUUUAAAAGUUCAACUAAAGUUUCAAUACCAAAACAAAAUUGGUGCUCAAAACUUUGGAAAUGCAUUAUUCUUUCAUGGAAACUAAAUCACCCAAACCAUUUUUUUUGUCUUUUCCUCCUCGUACUCAUCACAGGCCCGUCGAUCUCCAUUUUUUUUUGUUUUGGUAGGGAUAAAUGUGCACAGAUAAAUGUUGCUGAUCCGAAGGGACUUGUCAAAAUUAUUAACACUUGGCUCCAUUGAUGAAUAAAGUCAUGGGGAAAAUUUUGCAGCCAGUUCUCAUUAUGUCUAUGAGUAAAGUUUUCUUGUCAGCUUCAAAGGGUUGAAACACUUUUUACUCAGCUCUCUUCUGCAUGCUUAUCCCAAUUUCCUUUUUUUUUUCUUUUUUGGUAGUACUUUGUCCAAGAUUGUUGCUAAUUUAUGAAGGACUCCUAGGUUUGAUUAAAAAGAUACUACUCCCUCCGUCCUACUUUGAUAGUCCUGUUUUCCUUUUUCGUCUGUCCUAAAUGGUAGUCCACUUUUCAAUUAAAAAAUGUAGUUAUAUUUUAAUUUCUGUAAAAUACCCUUAUUCAAUGUAGGUUGUUAUUAGUAUAAACUAUCUUAUUUAAUAUAGACUGUUAACCUGCCCCAUUUAAUACAUUUAGAUUUUCCAAGACAUAUUAAUAUAUGAAAAGCCAGCUUCGUUAUUCUUUCAAGCUAAAAUGUGAAAUAAUGUAAAAUCAGAAUUGAUUCUUUCUUGACUAUCUAUUCAAGUUUCUAUAAACCAUCAAUUCAAGUUUCCAUGAAUAAUUAAUAUAAAGUUGUACUUUAUUUAAUGUAAGAGUAUUUUAGGAAAAUAGCCACCUAAAUUUAUUGUUUCAACAAAGUUAACUAUUUUUUUCUUAAACUGUAUAAAAAAAAACUAGAACUAUCAAAUGGGACAGAGGGAGUACUAUGAAGGAAUAAUCAAUUUGGCAGCAAGUUCUAAGAAUUUUAUCGUUCUUGGUCUCGUUAACAUGUAUCAGCACCAUAUCAGGAUCAUGUUGCAUGAAACUUGGACAUGCACAUUUGUAGUAUCUUGAGAACAGUUUCAAGCUUAGGCCACAUUUGGUUCUUCCUUGUCUCCAAUCUCCAAAUUAACUUCAUUAAUAAAUGCAUAUUCUUAAUUAAUCCAAAUGGCAAUGACAAAUUCAUUUUUGGUUUUGGAUAAUUGCAGCCACUUACAACGUUGUAAGGAUUAAUCACAUGUUUUUUUUACUACAAACCUCCAUCUUUAUGGUUCUUCAAUACUUAAGGUUUAUUUUUUCAACCCGUCUAUUUUAACACAAGCAUCUAAAAGUAUGGGAAAGCACCGCUUUGUUUUGAUGAUAAGGAAACAAUUAAUUCUUGCUUGGUGGUGGGCAUAUCCUUAGUGAAUGAAGCCUAUAUACAUACGUAUAUAUACAUAUACAUACAUAUAUACAUAUAUAUAGACACAUACACACAUACAUAUAAAUAUGUGUGUGUUUUGAUAAUAAGGAAACAAUAAAUUUUGCUUGGUGGUGGGCAUAUCCUUAGUGAAUGAAGCCUAUAUACAUGCGUAUAUAUACAUACACAUACAUACAUACAUAUAUACAUAUAUAUAAAUAUAGACACAUACACACACAUACAUAUAAAUAUAUGUGUGUGUUGAUAAAAAAAUGGUGGGUUGUACGGCUGGAAAGAGGUGGUGAUUGGUAAGUGAUUUUACCUACCAUGUGGUAGCAUGUAACUAUGAAGAUUUGUUGGGCUUGGAAUUGGUCUCUGCUUGGAAUUGGUCUCUCUCAACGCUUCCAUUUUCCACAGAUGCUGUGAUCCCUUAACUUUAGUGUAAAUAAGUACAAGUCAAGGUACCGGAAAAACAAAAGCAUGUGAGAGAAAGGAACAAAGAAAACAUGAAAAUCUUUUACAUGUUUCUUACCAUUUUAUAUAGUUCAUCCAUUAUUACACGCAUUUUUAUCUAAAGUUUUCUUCUAUGAUCAUAACAUAUGUGUGUAUAUAUAUAUUACGAAUUGAAGUUUAUAAUUUAACUAAAAACAUUUAAGCAGUAGUUAAAUUUCAAUCUUUUAGAGCGGCAAUUACCCGGCUAAUUCCUCCCUUUAUUGCUCGAAAAAAUCGUGCAAGUAUUGAUCUGACGGAGAGAAUGUAUUGAACUAUGCCUGCCUGGCUUAUUAAGCCUGACAAACUAUGAAUUUUAAAAAAAAAAAAAUUGCUCCAGCUGGAUUUUUUUUGUGAUGGCCGGUAGCCAUCAUCAAAAGGAAAAAGGAAAAAAAAAAGCUCAUUCUAGUACAGGACCCUGUUUCUAGUGCUUCUUUUCCCAAGCACAAGAAUAAUGUAAAUUUAGGAAUUAGAGAUGAUGGCGAUAAUUCUUUUGGGUGCAAUGAGUUUAGCACCAAGUUUGGGGCCUUCAGGCCGCAAGCACGCAAUGGUUAUCGAAGGAUUAGGAAGAUGCUGCAAUCGAAAUACUGGAGAGUUGCUCCCAAGUUGAGAGAUUAUGAAGUUUCAAACACCAAUAAGUAGGAGUGCAUAAAAUAAAAAAUUUUGAUUUAUUGACGGAAUUUGAAUUGAAUUCGAAAUUUCAAAUUCGGUAAUUCGAAAUAAAAUUUGGAAUAUUCGAUUUCGAAUUAGACGAAAUUGGGUCGAAUUCGGUAAUGAAAUUUUUCAAGUCAAAAAUUCUGAUUUUGAAUUCACAAUUCGAAAUUGAAAUCGAAAACGGAAUUCGGAAUUUCUAUUUCGAUUUCAAAUCAGUUUUUCAUAUAUAUAUAUAUAUAUUAUAUAUAUAUGUAAUAUAACAUAUAUAUUUAUAUAAUUUGUGAUUUGAAAUUGAAUUCGGUCAGAAACUCUGAUACCAAAAUUCAGAAAAAUUUCCAUUUCAAAGUUUCGAAUUACCGAUUUCGAUUCUGACUCACACUUCUACCAAUAAGUGGAGACUCUUCAUUAUGUCCUUGGAGAAUGCCUUGUUUUUCACUAAUUUAUCUAGGUUGUUUAUAGAGUUAUUUUAUUGCUCUAAAUAUUUAAUACUAACAUGUUGGUAUUGUAGCUGAAGGAAUGAGGUCAUUUUAUCGAAACAGAAAGUUCAUUCACACGAGGGAUAGAUUGUUGGAAAUUAGUUUGUAGUAUGGAAAUUGAUCAUGAUUUGUGACAUGAUUUUUCUUUUCAUGUUUAGAAGUAUGAUUUAUGAAUUUUCUACAAGAUUCAUUAGUACAUUGAUCUAUCUUCUCAAGUUCAUUAGUUCAUUCAUGGAACCACUUAAUUCAUGUACCUAGUGUACUAAAUUCAUAAAUGGAUAUUAAAUGAAGAUACAUUGUUAUAUGUUCUCAAGUUCAUCUGUUCAUGUAUGGAACUACUCAAUUCAUGAACUUGGUGUGCUAUAUUUAUAAAUGGACAUUAAGUGAAAUUCAUAUACUUUUGCUAUUGUAUUGCCUAUAAAUAAGAGGUAGUCUAACCUCUCUUGUUGCAACUUGUGCUUAAGGUAUUUUAGAUUUAGAUUUGCAAAACCAGUUUCUUACAUCCAUUUCUUGUGAAAACUAAACUUAAACUUGCUAUAGGCUAAUUGUUGUUUUCAUUGUAUCUUAGAGGUAAUUUGCCAUCUCAACCCGGUUAGCAAGACAGUGGGAGCAAAUAACAUCUUAAGGAGAGUGAUCACGCAUCCUGGAAAAUCUCUUGAAUUUCCCAAAAUUAGUUUAGUCAAAUUCUUGAAAUUAUUCUUAUAAUAACUCUGUUGUAGGUUCCAUACACUUGUAAUACCCAUUUUUCUCCACAAUCUUAAGGUGUUAUUUGAAAUUGUAUGGAGUCUAUUCAAGAAUCUGUUAUCAAGGUGAUGAAUUAAGAUUUUGUUAAGUUGGACCGCUUGGAUGGAAUUGGAACCAAUUUCAAGAGAUGGAAGGAUAAGAUGAUCUUCUUCUGCACGGCCUUGAAGGUGGCAUACGUGUUGAAUCCAUAUCUUCCAGAAAUUCCUCCUCCAAAUGAUGACGAUUCAGAGGCUUUGAAGAGACAAAGGAAAAAGCGUGAAGAAGAUCAAGUGGUGUUUAGAGGUCAUAUUCUCAAUACUCUGUUAGAUACUCUCUAUGAUUUAUUCACAACCGUCAAUUUACCAAAAAAGAUUAGGAUACCCUUGAGUGUCAACAUGUCGACCAAAAGCAAGAUUCAAUAAGUUUCUUAUUAAAAAUAUUUUGAGUUCAAAUUUAUAGAUAAUUUCUUACUUCUUGAUCAAAUUCACAAUUGCAAAUGAUUGUUUCGAAAACUCAAAGAUUUAAGUAUUGAAAUUUCAGAAGCAUUUCAAGUGGGGGUUAUUAUUGCCAUAUUGCCUCCUAGUUAGAAUGACUAUCAAAAGACAUGGCUCCAUACUUUCGAAAUUUUGACUUUAAAUGGUGUUUUGAAACAUCUAACGAUUGAAAAAGAUACUAGAAAUCUUCAAAAGAAAGAUGUGAAUGGUGAAUCCAAAGUGAAAGUAGAGGAUGAGUCUAAGGUAAAUUUUAUGAAUGAAAGAAAGUCUUCCAAUGUCAAAAGGAAGAAACUUGAAGAUACUAAUUCUAAGUGUAGACACCAAAAUUUUGUUAAUUGAUUGAUUUAUUUAUUUAUCUAUUAAUUUUUAUUUUUUUACUUUUACAUUUGACCUUUUAAUUCUCAUUUCAAGAAAAAUCAUUUUUAUUUGAUUAGUUAUAUAUAUAUAUAUAUAUAUAUAGGAAAAUGAAGAUGGGAAAAGAAAAAAUGAAAUUUGAAAAUCAGAUUAUUAUUUUUUUAAAAAAAUAAAUUUCCCCGCCCGCGUGCAGUGCAGCGCGCGAUUUCUUCUUCAGCAGAAACCAGCAAUAUUGUACAGAAAUGCAGUUGGAAUUUUGAUUCGAUUUUUCUUCCUUUUCUUUUUUCCCAAGAUUACCAGUACAAAGGCCACCUCACCAAUCAAACUCUUAUCAAGAAACCUCUGGAAAAGAGGCCAUCAAAUUACCCAAAAAUUAGCAGCAAAUAUGGUUGCAUCUCAACCCUUGAGAGGAGGGUUUUGGGGCUUUCAUUUCAUUUAGAUAGCAAAGGACACAGCCUUAGGAAGAAGAGGAGGUAAGGAAAGUCGGCUGCACAAAAAUCUGGGGAGGGAGAGAAAGAAAAGAGAAAAAGAAAGGCAAACAAGGAAAAAAAAAUUUUUUGUAAAAUUUUUUCCGGAAAAACAGGCUGACCGACCAGCCAUCUUCGAGCUCAAUUUUCUCCUUUGAUAGAGCUUGUUGGGAGAAAUUUUCUUUCUGAGUAAUCUAGGAUCUUAGUAGAGAAGAUUUCAUUUAGAAAAUUUUCGAAAAAAAUUGCUGCAACCCCUUCGUAUUGAGGCUUGAACUUGCUACAGUCACAACUCUUGAACAUUCUUCAACAAAAGUUGCUUUUCCUAGUUUCAGCACUUGGAUCCGUUUUCCUUGAGAUUUACCACGUUUAUUUGAAUCUACAAGGCAUCAAAGGUAGUUAUUUCGUUUCUUUCUUCUUCAUACGGGCCUAGGUCAUCACCAGAUGUAGCAAGAUUUUGCUGCACACGUUUUUCUUUCUUUUUCCUUUUCUUUUCGCUGUUUUCCCCCCUUUGUUUUGCAGACUUUCAGCUUAGAUUUUCUAUUACUUAAUUUUGUGUUGAAUCUUGCACUUGGAUGUUUAGAUCUUGUGGAUAUUUGGAUUAUAAUCUUGUGUAUUUGGAUCCGAAUCUUGGACAAACCAUUUUGCACAUUUUCCAGGGUUGAGUGAAUCUCCAAAGUGCAGAAUCAUUCGCUGUUCUUGCAUGAAGGAUUCUGAAAUUUGCAAGUUGCCCCUCCAAAUUUUGUGUAAUCGCAUUAAAGCCCAAAUAUUUGUAGAAAUGGAUGAAUUUCUUCCAUUAAAGCCUUGAUUUCUUUCAUAUAUUCUAUAUACAUGCUUUGAAUAAAUUAUUUCUGGUCUCCAGAAUAUAAUUAAAAAUAAUUUUGUUGGAUUUAAAUUACUUAGUUAGACAUUUUCUUUUUCUUUUUGGGAUUUAUGAAAAUGGUUUAAGAAAUGGGUUAAUGUUUUGAUGGGUUUUGAUGAAUGGGUUUGUUUUUAUUUUUCUUUUGGCUAUGACAUGGUUGUGAAGCUAAAACCCAAUGCUGUGUUUGGGUUUGUAACUAAUAAAACAAGUGGGUUGGUCCAUUCUUUUCCUUAAAAAUCAAUUCGGGUUUCGCCUUGGGCUAAGGAGUUUACACCGCCAAUAAAAAAAAAAAAAAAAAAAACACACAAGAAGCCUGCGUUGUUUUCUUGCAAAUCAGAAACGAAAUUUGCAACUAGGCCUCUGAUCUAUCAAUUAAUUCACAAUGGCUCUAAAUUUUGAAUUUAUUUCAAUUAGAUUGUAAAUUUAAUUAUAUUUUGGUCCAUAAACUUUAUCUUUUUAUCUAAUUUGAACCCCUAAUUUUUUAAUAAUUAUAAUUUAACCUCAAAAACUUCCAAUUUUUGCAAUUAGGUUCCUAAUCUUCAUCAUUUCUUAACUACAAUUGUUUAUUUCAUUUAAUUGUUAAUCAUACUUCAUUUAGAUACAUUUAAUUGAUGAAUUUUAGGGAUUUUAUAUGUAUUCGUAUUUCUUUGGAAUAACAGAGUGAAUUUUGCUACAUGUUUACAUUUAUUAAAUUGUUAAUUAAAUUGGGUGCAUUGACUAUUUUGUUGAUUUUGGAGUAUAAAUAGGACAAACUUUACUUCAUUUAACCACUAUGUUAAGGGAGAUACCUUCUAUUAUUAUUUUAAAUUCUUUUAUGUACUCCUAUAUGCUUUAUGUGUGACUGCAUAUUUUGAGUGCUUUUUCCUUUAUUUACACAUUUUAUUCACUUUAAUUUUUUAUUUGUUUUAUUUAAUUUUUUAUUAUUUGGGAGGUAUUUAAAUGCCAAAUCGUAAUAGAUAGGUGUCCAAAAAUUGUAUUUAAUUAGACCAUGUAAUAGAUAAAUUUUAUUUUUGUCAAAAAAUGUAAUUAGUUAGAUAAAUGUAAUAGAUAAAUUUAUUAUUUCAAAAAAAUUUUCUUCUAAAUUGUAGUUAGGGCCUCCAAUGUAAUAGCUAAUUUUAUUUGCUUGCGCGUUUGUGUCCUUGUAUGCUGUGUGUUUAUUCGCUUUCUCUAAAAUUUUGCAGCAGCUAGAUAUUAUGCAUAUGUGUUAUGUAAUCUAUGUGCUUUAUGUGUUUAUUUGCUUUAAUUAUACUUUAUUUAUUUAUAAUAAAUGCAUAACGUCACCACACUAGUCCAACGCUAGUUGUAAUUUUUCUCUCUAAUUUCUCACUAGUCCAACACUAGUGAGGACUUUAAGAAAUGGAUUAGUCUAACGCUAGACCCUUUACACCAUCGAUACGUUAGAUUCAUGCUUUGGUAUGAUAUUUAUUACAUCUCAUGUAUUUUUUUUUCUUAUUUUUAGGAUUGUUUUAUCAUUCGCAUGAUAUUUUUCCUAUUAUUAUCCCCUUACCCUUUAUAUGCUUAGACCAUACCAUUUAGAAUUGCAUCUCAUUUUAGGAACUUAGAAAUAGGUUAGUCCAUUUGCUUGAAUAGGUUAAGAGAGUUACCCUCCCAAUAUGGAAAAUGAACGAAUAUGAUUUUUUAACCUUAGCACGCUAUUACCCUUCUAUAAGAAGGAAAAUUAAGUCAUGACUUCUCGUCUCUCGUACCCGUUAUAUUGCAUUCUCUUUUUCUAAAUCAUGUAUAUUUAUCUAAAUAUUAUAAUUUCUUUUUUUGUCUCAUAUUUCAUAUUUUUCGUGACCUCUUCAAAUAAUCAUUCUUGGACAUCACAAUUAAUGUGAUUUGCAUCAAUUAAAUUUUGAAGAGACAUUCCGUCCCUCUCAAUACCCUUAGGUCUAGAUUUGCAUUCAUAUAGAAGCAUCCAAAUGUGAUAAAUUUUAGAUGUUAGAUUAGAAAAAUUUUUGACUAAAUCUAACAACUAACUUUAGUUAAGUUGAAAGGGUGGUUAGAUUUGAACCUAUCAAAUCUUUGUCUUCUAUUUUUUCAACCGUAACUCCUGAACUCUUUUUUCUUGUUUUCUAAUGACUUUGGUCGUAUAAAAAGGUUUUAUUUAUUUUUUAUUUAAAAUAUAUUUUGGAUGAUUUGGUAUACCUAAACUCGAUAUCAAGUGACGACUCUACUUUUUUAAAAAAAUUCUUUUUAGACUAAUAUUUUAGGUUCAAACCGUCACAUUUUUUAUGUCCAUCUUCAACCCUUUUUCUUUGUUUUCUAAAAAUAAAAAAAAAAAACAUAUUUUUUUAACACUUUCUUUUAUUUUCAAAAAAAUGGGACGUGACACUAAGACAAUAAAAAGAAGAAUAGGAAUUGCUAUAAUUGUGGCAAGAAAAACAAUUACAAAUAUGAAUGCAUGUACGAUAAGAAACAAAAGGCUAGUAGUGUUUCAAUCGCAAAUCUUGAUGAUGAAAUUUAAAAAUCAUUGCUAUGAUGUCACUUGGUAUAGUGAUUGAAUUGAACAUGACCACACCUAAUUCUUCAAGGACUAGUGAUAUGAUUCUAGUGCAGCCAGUCAUGUGUGCAAUAACAAGAGUCAAUUCAACGAUUAUGAAAUUCUUAAAGAACAUGAAGUGAUUAUGGCAAAUGUGUAAGGGCUAAAAUGCAUGGCAAAAGUUGUGUGAAUAUCCAAUUUACUUUUAGCAAGAAAUUAGUCCUCACUAAUGUAUUUCAUGUUUCGAAUAUUGUAAAAACUCGUCUCUGCUGAUAUUCUUAACAAGAAAUGGUUAAAAGCUAUAUUAGAGGGCAACAAAGUGAUAUUGUCCAAGAAUUGUGUAUUUGUUGAAAAAGACUACUCUUGUAAUGACAUGUUUAAAUUGAGUAUCAAUAAGAUUGAUGAUAUUUCUCUUUAUUUUAUUGAUUCUUCUUAUUCUUUGCGGCAUGAUAGAUUAGAACAUGUUAAUCACAAAACGCUACAACAUAUGUUUAAAAAUGGUUUAAUUUUAUUUAAUGACAAUGUGAAUAAGAAGUAUGAAGUAUGUAUUCAAAUCAAGAUAACAAGAUUGUCUUUUCCUGAAGUUGAAAGAAACUCACAAUUGCUUAAUCUAGUGUAUUCGGAUGUUUAUGAAUUGAAUGAAAUUUUAACAAAAAGUGGAAAUAGAUAUUUCAUCACAUUCAUUGAUGAUUGCUCUAGUGUGGAUGUCAUGUAUAUUUAAUGAAAAUAAAAGAUGGAACCUUUUAUAUGUUUUAGACAUAUGUUUCUUGUUGAAAAUCAAUCAAGUAGAAAAAUUAAAGUAUUGAAAAGUGAUAGAGAUGGUAAAUAUUUUCUUACCAAAUUCUCAAUUUUUGUGAAAAUAAUGAUAUUGUACACCAAACACGUGCCCCUUAUACUCCACAACAAAAUAGUUUGACUGAAAGGAAAAAUAAAAUUUUGAAAGAUAUGAUAAAUGUCAUGAUUUUAAGUUCUGAUCUAUCAAAAAAUUUAUAGGAUGAAGAUUUAUUAACUACAUGUCAUGUGCAUAAUUGCAUUCCUUCUUGGAAAACUAAAGUAUCUCCAUAAGAGUUGUGGAAAGGAAGAAAAUCAAAUUUGAAUUAUCUAAAAAUUUGGAAAUUUAUAGCUUAUUAUAGAGUUCUGAAAAAUAAAAGAAUAAAAUUGGAACCUAAAGCACUUAAAAGUAUAUUCGUUGGUUAUGUUGAAAAUUCUAAAUCUUGUAGGUUACUUAAUCUUGAUUCUAAUGUGAUUGUAGAAUCAAAAGAUGUUGACUUUUUUGAGAAUAAGUUUAUCAAUAAUUCAAGAGUUGUGAACCAAGUUCUUCCAAAAAAAUGCUGAUCUUUCUAAUGUACAAAAAGGAAGAAAAUUGACACUCCUUUUGAAUUAAGGAGGAGUCAGAAACAAAGAAAAGAAAAGAAUCUACCCUCUGAUUUUAUUUCUUCACAAGCUAUUGUCUUUCUUGUUAAAAACAAUAGAGAUUCUCUACUAAAUAAAACUCCAAUUUUAUUUAGUAUAGAGAAUGAUCCUAAAACAUUUAGUGAAAUUAUGAAAUCUAGAGACUCACCAUUUUAAAAAGAAGUGGUAAAUGAUGAAAUGGAUUCAUUGUUAUCUAAUGGUAUCUAGGUCCUAAUUGACUUACCACAUGGUUCUAAACCUAUUGACUGUAAGUAGGUAUUUCAAAAGGAAUAUAUCACCAAUGGAUCCAUACUAACCUAUAAAAUUAGGUUAGUGACCAAAGGUUUUAGACAAAAGAAAGGUGUUGAUUAUUUUGAUAUUUAUGCAUCGAUUGCUAGAAUUGUAUCCAUUAUAGUACUUUUGAUUCUAACUUCAAUCUAUAACUUUUGUGUAUAUCAAAUAGAUGUCAAUAUAGCCUUUCUAAAUGGUGAUUUAGAUGAAGAGGCGUACAUGGAAUAAAUGGAGAAUUCUGUAUUGUCCGAAAAUGAGAAUAAGGUAUGUAAAUUUGUAAAAUCAUUAUAUAGAUUGAAACAAACACCUAAACAAUGGCAUGAAAAAUUUAAAUCUGUUUUACGUGCAUAUGAAUCUAGGUCAAAUAAUGAUGACAAGUGCAUUUAUUCUAAAUUCAUAGGCAAGUAUGAAGUGAUCAUUUAUCUCUAUAUAGACAACAUGCUAAUUGUAGGUAUUAACUACCAAGCGGUAGUAGAUACUAAAAAGUAUUUCUCUGCUAAGUUCAAAAUAAAAGAUUUUCUAGAUGUGGAUACUAUCUUAGGAAUUAAAGUUAAGAGGCCUAGUGGGGGAUUUUAAAAGGUAUAGUGGGGGAUUUGCACUUUCACAAUCGUAUUAUAUUGAUAAAGUUUUUAAAAAGAAUCAACAUUUGAAUGUGAAAGAGACUAGUACUUCCUUUGAUCCUAGCUUUAAAUUAUAUGAGAAUACUGGUAAUCCAAUUGCUCAGUUAGAAUAUGUAAUUAGAAUUGAAAGUUUAAUAUAUGCAAUGAGUUGCAUAAGAUAAGAUAUUUCUUAUUCAGUGUGUAGACUAAUUAGAUAUAUUAAGAAUCCUGGUAAAGAUCAUUGAACAGUAGUGACGCGAAUCCUUAAUUAUCUUAAAAGAACCAAAGAUUUGGGUCUAUUCCACAAUAAUUUUCUAAGUGUUCUUGAGGGGUAUACAGAUGCUAAGUAGGUAACUAGUAUUAGUGAUCAAAAUUCUACUAGUGGAUGGAUCUUUAUGCUGAAUAGUGGAGCUGUUUCUUGGAUUUCAAAUAAACAAAUUGUGAUUACUCAUUCCACCAUAAAAACUGAAUUCAUAACUUUAGCUUUUGCAUGCUGAGAAGCAUAGUGGUUUAGAGAUUUAUUACUUGAUAUAAAUUUGUGACCUCGUUCUAUGCCUGCAAUUGCAUUGUAUUGUGAUAGUGAGGCUACUAUGUCUAAAACAUUGAACAAAGUGUACCAUAGUAAAUCUAGUCAUAUGAGUUUGAGACACACCUGUAUUAGACAAAUAUUGAAUGAUAGCAUUGUCACAAUUAUAUUUGUAAGAACUUAUAAUAAUUUAGCGGAUCCGUUGACUAAAUCUCUUGCAAGAGACUUGAUGAAUUCGACAACAUCAAGAAUGGGAUUAAAACCUUUUGUCUAGAAUCACUAGCAAUGAUAACCCAAUUUUCUUCUAGUACUACCCCUAAUUAGAAAGGUUUAAAGGUAAAAGCAAGUUGUUAAUAAGUGAUUAUGAAUACUAUAAUUUUUGUAUGUAUGAUUCCAAAUGGUAGUACAUCAUGUUCUCUUAAUUGAGCAGAUUGAGAAGUAUUCUCUUAAUAAAUAUAUUUCUUAGUGAUUUAUUUGUUAAGUUAGAAAUUAAUUUACCUAUAUGAUCAUAGAAGUGGUGUCAUUUCUAGUAAAAGUUUAGGGUAAUUUUUUAUGCAUGAUCAUGAACUCGGAUGAGCACGUGAGCGGUAAUAGUGCUAAAAAUGAUAUGUGAUUGUUGGAUGCAAUUGAUUAGUUCAUGUGUGUGAUAAUUUUAUUCUAAUCUUAAAUCUUAGUUUAAGCAAUCUAGUCACCCUAAUUUAAUUAGGACUUGUGAAUUAUUUGCACUAAGGAAAAGUUUAAAACAAAAGUUAUUUUUCUUUAUGCAUGAUAUCAUAAGUGUUGGUUUAGCAUUUCAUACUACAAACUAAGUAGGGAAUGUUGAAAAUUAGUUUGUAAUAUGAAAAUUGAUCAUGACUUGUGACAUAAUCUUUCUUUUUAUUUCUAGAAGUUUGAUUAAUGAAUUUCCUACAAAAUUCAUUGGUACAUUGAUUUUUUUUUUCAAAUUCAUUAAUUCAUUCACGGAACCACUCAAUUCAUGUAUUUGGUGUACUAAAUUCAUGAAUGGAUAUUAAGUGAAGAUACAUUGUUGUAUCUUCUCAAGUUUAUUAGUUUAUGUAUAGAACUACUCAGUUCAUGAAUUUAGUGCACUAUAUUCGUAAAAGGGCAUUAAGUGAAAUUCAUGUACUUUUACUUUUGUAUUGCCUAUAAAUAAGAGGUACUCUAACUUCUCUUGUUACAAAUUGUGUUUUAAGGAAUUUUAUAUUUGCAACACCUUAAGGAGAGUGAUCACACGCCUUUGGAAACUCUCUUGAAUUUCUCAAAAUUAGUUUAGUCAAGUUCCUGAAAUUAUUUUUGUAAUAACUUUGUAGUAGGUUCCAUAUACUUGUAAUCCUGAUUUUUCUCCAAUAUAGAUGUUAACAUGAAGCACCAUCCAAGCGAAGAAAAUUAAGCAGGCGUAGCUUUGUAGUUGCAUACUGUUUGGUUAUCAAAUUUUUUUCAAAUAAUAUUUCGCUUGUAUCAUAAACACAUUUUCCAACCCAUCUUUUUAUAUUUCCAAUUAUAUUUUUAUCUCACAUACAUCACAUCAUAAAAAGUGCUACAGUAAUUAUUCCAAAUAAUAUUUCAAAUAAUACUCUAUUCAAAGUAAUUCUAAUUCUCUUGAUAAGGGAGAAUAUGGUAGAUCAGAUGGUGUCUUAGAUAAAGGUCCUUUUUUUAAUGUUGUCUCGAUUUUGAGUUCCUAUGGUUGUGUUCUAUUUCUAAAUCAAUUCCUUUUAUUCUCGUAGGAAAUGGUUCAUCAACAUCUGUUAAAGUUCAUAAAAAAAAUCUAAGGAUUCUAGUGGUAUAGUCAUUUUAUAAUGUAGUUGACAUAUGUUUUAUUUCAUUUUACAGUGAAAUUUAGCGUAAAGUUAUUGAUGUGUGUUUUUUCCUUUUGACACACAGUCCGAAAGCCAUCAGUUUUUUUUUUUAAAUUCAACUGAUUGUUGGGCAGCAAUUAAAAAAAAUUCGUAGCCUACCGGACUUAUUAUUUAAUACAUUCUCUCUGUCAAAUCAAUACUUGCACGAUUUUUUUGAGCAAUAAAUGAAGGAAUUAGCUUAAUUACGCUUUAAAUUCUUAGCUUGGUACACCAGAUAUUGAUCAACUUAGUUAUCAGUUUAGCAAUUCUUUUUUUGUUUUCAUUCUAGACACAUGUUAUAGCCACUGUCAAAACUUUGCAAAACUAUUUUAAGCGCAAGAAGUCUUGCUAAGAAUCCCAGAAUCGUUUAUGUUUGUUGGAACUAUCAUUACUAGUUGGUUCUGCAAUAAAUUACAAUCAAUUUGAGAAUAAAAGCUUCAAACGAUAGUGACUUAAACUACUAAGUUAAUCUUAUAAGAGGCAAAUGAAAACUUAUCAACAAUAAACACGAACUCCUCUCUUUUUUUGUAAUAGAUGUAUAGGAUGCCACUGCCAUUACCAAGUCCAGGAAAAAAAAAAACUUCUAUCAAAGCUCCGCAAUCUUGAAUUAAAGCUUUAUUCUCGUAGUUACUAAUUAUAUCUUUAACUUCCUAAUCAAUUGUAAGAUACUGCAAAUUUUGUUCUAAAACACGUCUCAACAAGCUACUUUAUUCAAUAUUGUCCAUUGUCCGUACUUACACAAGUUAUUUAUUUUCAACCAGCUUAUACUCAAACUACAUUCUCUAAUACUAUCCAAUACUUAAGUGAGUUAUUUAUUAUCAACGAAUUUAAAUUAAAAAUGUCUUCCCCGAUAUUUUUCAGUAUAAUUGCUUGAACAAGUGAUUAUUGUCAAUCAACCAACUUGUCAAAGGCAAGUUGGCUAUGUAUUUAAUGGAGAUUCUACGGUCUCUUUUGGGUAUUAUACCUGCAAGUAAAAUUCCCCAUUUAGGCUCUGUUUGGUAGGAUGUAAAGUAUUUUCCUUAAGAAAAUAUUUUCCACAGAAGUUCUUUUCUGGGAAAAUAUUCACCUUUUUCAAUAUUUUUUGAUGUUUGGUUGAAAAUUUUAACUGCAUUCUUAUCAUCAAAAUUCUACUCCUUUCGCCACCCGCUUUUCUCUUCCACCACUGGAAAAUCGAUCUUCCUAUUUCCCACCACUAAACAUAGCAGAACCAUUCAAAAUAGAAGAAUCCAGGUCAAGUAUAAAGGACAAUUUGUUGACUCAUAACUAUUGGUGCCAUAAAAGACAUUAUCAAGUUAGACAUAUUAAGACCACGAAAGGUGAUUAAGGUCAAUCAAUGAAAGUGCAAGACCAGGCAUAAAUAUCUCCUCAAGUUGAAGAAAUAGGCUCUGUUCUUUUUUAUAUGAUUAGUACUCUUAUUGACUCGUAUAUGAAAUCUAGUUUAAAGAUCAUAUGCCAGCGAUUAAACCACAAUCUCAAAGGCACUAAAAUCAAGGCAAAUUUGAACUAAAGAUACGUAAUUUUGAUUUAAGAAAACACUGCAAAGAAAAAUAAAAUGAUUGAAAAAAGACAGUGAGAAUUGACAAUAAUCCAAAUUGUUAACAAAUUCGUAGUGUCGGCAUCACCAGCAAAUUCGUCAGUGUCAAAGGUGAACUCAUUAGUGUCAAAGAUAUCGAAGUGAGCACGAUGAGACUUUUUUUUAUUUUGAACAUACUACAAAUUUUGAAAGUUUGAUAGAUAUCUUUAUUAGGCGGGACGCAUGCGUUUAGGAAAACAGUUUCAGUAAGAUUGGAAGGGAAGUUGUUUUCUGUAGGAUGAGCGAAAAUCUUUUACACAGUAAAAUAGUUUCAGUAACUUUUUUGCAACAAACAUGGAAAAUUAGGAAAAUAUUUUCCUGGAAAAGAUUUUCACCCGAAACAAAUAGACCCUAAAUGGUGAAAGAAGUAUUAUUCAUCCUUAGAUUGAAUAUUGUUAAAUACUUAGAGAUACAUGUUAAGAGAAUAGCACCCAAAAGGGAUUAUAGAAUUUUUUUGUAUUUAAAAUCUCCUUUUCCUUUUUGUCUUUUUUUUUUUUUUGAAAAAAAUGAGUUAUUUGUUAUCAAAUGAUGAUAUUUAUGAAACUCAAUUAACAAUAACAAAGAAAAAUCCAAAUACUAGGACGAUAUUAUGUUCAAUUAUUUUAAGUGAAUAAUUAUAAAAUAUAUACAUAUAAUUUUUUUUGUGAAAUGAGAGGUUUGAAAUCAAAAUCUUCUUUUUUUGUAAUGACAUAAGUAGGAAUCCCCUACUUAGCAUUUCAUUUACCUUAAAAAAUAAAAUGGAUAAUUUCAGAAACCUCCCCUAAGGUUUCUGACGAUUUCAUUGAGUUCUCUUAAAAUUUUCAAUAGUACACUUACCUCUCUUGAUGAUAGAUAAUGACUAUAAUAACCUUCAUAAUUUUUCAAAAGACAAGCCAUUGAUAAAAAAGGGAAAAGAUAAUAGAAAAAAGAAAAUGAAAAAAGAAAAAUAAUUCUUCUUGACCAAGCUAUAUAUUGUGGCCAAACUAUUUCAAUCAUGGCCAUUAAAUUGUAACACCUUCUAUCAUUCAAAUAUUCUAAUCAAGGUAGCAUGACAAUAAGAUUAGUGAGGCAAAGGCUUUUAAUGAGUUUUUUAUGUGAAAAUUUUAGAUUUUCACUUUUAAUGGAUUUGGUUUGUGAAAAUUUUAGAUUUCCAUUCUAUUUCAAUUUAUGGAUAGAAUUACCAACGUUGUAAUGAGUAAGGUGGCAAAAUAAAAAAAGUUACAAGUUUCAUAUUAACAUUUAGGAGAUCAGGAAUUCAAGAGAUACUUUAAAAAAAGUGGUAGGGAUGAUGAUGGCAAACUUACGAUAACAGCUUUCUACUCCCAAAAUCACCACAUGCUGGUAAUAUAUAGUUGUUUAAUAAAGCUUGACUCGAGUUGAUAGUACAUCAAUGCCAUGGUUUUGAAGUCCCUUUUGCUGUUUUAUCUUUUGUAUUGAAUCUCCGUGCCACUCAUUUCUCUAUAACAAGCAAUCACAUGUUAAAGACUCCCAAAAACUUUGUAUAACAAAAUGUUAAGAAAUUGGUUUAAUUUCUUUUAGGUAGAAUUUUUGUUUUGUGUGGAAGUAACUAGUUUCCUAAUUAGUUUUAGUUACUUGAAGUAGUAGUCAAGUAAAGCCCUAUUUAACUAAAUACUAUUUCUUACUCUAUAUGAGUUUAGGAAAUAGUAUUGGUUUCCAAUUGUUAUUUGAUUUUUUGGCAGUAAUGUUCCUUAUAAAUGGAUGGGUUGACAUACUACACAAGAGACACACAAGGAGACACAAGGGGCAUUAUGUAGCCUUAUACAUGGGGUGUGAGAAAGGGUUCUUGAGAGAUGAGAGAUGGUAUACAAGGGUUGGGUUUGGGUUUAAAUUGUAUUCUUGUAUAGGAAUUUCCUCUCAUAAUAAAGAACAGGUUUCUCUCCGUGGACAUAGGCUCAAUGGUGGAGUCGAACCACGUUAAAUAUUGUGUGUCGUUUAUCUUUCAUGCUUGUGGCUUAUUUGCCAUUAAAUUAUUAUACAUUUGAUAUCUUAAUGUUGUUUAUUUCGAGUUUUGAUCCUAACAAGUGUUAUCAAAGUUUGGUUGCGAGACUGGGCUGCUCAAGGUUCGUAGUUGAAUCCUAAUUAACUAUUGAAAUCAAGUGGAUUGGUAGCUGUCACCAAUUGAACAAUUUAAUGGGUGGUAUCCUUGUUUCAAUGGCUUGAUAAAAAGCAUUGAUAGUGAAGGAUGAAAAGUCGAAAAGUAUGGAGAUGUUUGACGGUGAAUCUAGGCAGAUGAUUCAAGGGUCACUGAAAAGGUGGAAUCCAAUGUUGAUUUUGGACGUGAAUCGGUGGAGACUUUCUCACACCUCCAACGGUUAAUACUUCAUCCAGGUGGAGUCUUGAAAACCACACGUGGCGAGACAGUCCUGAGGAUGGGAAGAAAUAUGGUGACUUUACCACUUGAUUGCCUCAAUGGUUAGGAUUAGAGCUCACAGAAGGGGAUCCCAAAUUGCAAGUAGUGGUAAGAAGAAAUCCUAUAAAGGAAGAUGGUGAAUUGAGGCACCUUCUCACGAGUCAACUAGAGGUUGGAUUCGGAAGUAACUAUACAUGUUUUUUUACCGAUUGAAUCAAUUUGGUGUCAGGACUGUAUUGAUUCGGGUGUGUAAUUUGGUACCAUAUUAUUUGGUAGUUGAAGACAAAUGGUUACUAAAAAAAAUUUUCGCCAAGGUGGAGAUUUGUUAGGAAAUUGGUUUAAUUUCUUUUAGAUAGAAUUCUUGUUUGUGUGAAAGUAACUAGUUUUCUAAUUGGUUUUAGUUACUUGAAGUAGUAGUCAAGUAAAACCCUAUUUAGUUAGAUGUUAUUUCCUACUCUAUAUGAGUUUAGGAAAUAGUAUUUUCCAAUUUUAUUUGAUUUUUUGACAGUAAUGUUCCCUAUAAAUAGAUGAGUUGGCAUACUACACAAGAGACACACAAGGAGACACAAGGGGCAUCAUGUAGCCUUAUACAUGGGGUGUGAGAGAGGGUUCUUGAAAGAUGAGAGAUGAUAUACAAGGGUUGGGGUUGAGUUCAAGUUGUAUUCUUGUAUAGGGUUUUCCUCUCAUAAUAAAGAAUAGGUUUUUCUCCGUGGACGUAAACUUAAUGGUGGAAUCGAACCAUGUUAAAUAUUGUGUCGUUUAUUUUUUAUGCUUGUGACUUAUUUGCCAUUAAAUUGUUGUGCAUUUGAUAUCUCAGUAUUGUUUAUUUCGCGUUUGGAUCCUAACACAAAAAACAUGUAAGUCUCCAUCUAAACUAGAUAGUCACAUAAGUGAUUCUUUUUUUUUUUCUAAGGCGCGCAAUUAUAUUAAUGUAGUUCUUCCACAAGUUAGGUUGGAUAUAAACAAGCCUGCACAGAUCUAAUGAAAAAUUAUGAUGGAAAAUACCAAAGUGCAGUCACGAGAUGAUAGGAAAACAUAAAAUGCAUAUUAUUGUGAUUGAUAAAGCUCUACACAAUAUACAUAUACAUAUAUAUAAUGCAGCCAUUGAGGAGAAGUUUCUAGCCAUUAUCUCUGCUUUCUUCAUGAAAAAGAAAAAAGAAAAGAGAAAAAGCCCAGAGCCAUAUCAUAGAAAAGGAAAAAAAAUAAGGAGGAGAAAAAAAAAGAAAGAGAAAAGGCAUGACAUGGCAUGGCUUGGAGAUCUUGCACUCCAGUCACAGGAUGAACAUGACUUUGCAGUUGCCUGGAUGCUUGGCUCAGCCCGAUUAUUGGGGUUAAUUACUUGAUUAUUGCAAGUUUUGUUAAAUUCUAUUGAUCAUUUUUUAAGCUGUCCAAAAGUGCCGUUACCCUAGCAACUUUGGCAAAUUUCUACGAAUAUUGUUAAAAUAAAAAAAGUUCACGAAAGUUGUGGAAGUUAGAAGCUCGUUCUACAUUAAGGAUUGCCACAAAUAGUAAUGGAGGCUUCUUUAAUUUUUUUUUAUUUUUUUUAUUUUUUCCUCUGCAAAGCUAAGGAGCAAUUUUUUUUUGAAAAGCGUUCGCCGCCUGUGAAAUGUGCGGCAAAGGCCAAAUUAUUAUUUAAUCAAACUAGUUCAUGAAAUUGCUCAUUUGAAUUAUUAUUUAAGGAGCUUUUUUUUUUUUUUGAAAAGCCUUCAUGAGCGGCGAAGCGAAGCAUUAUAAUGCAAUUAAGAAUUGCCGCAUUUAGCAUUAUGAUGCAAUUAAGAAUUGCUGCAUUGAAUGCGGCAAUUCGUUUAAUUUUUUUUUUUCUAAAACCUAACCUUAAUCCUAAUCAUAAACUCAACCCUAAACGCAAAAUCACUACACCCUAACACGUAAUAUUAAUCCUAACCAUGAAAUCUAAAAUUUAAUUUACCUAUAAGAAUUGUGCUAAUCAUACAUGCUAUUAAAUGAAAAUAAAAUAUGCCAAAGUCAUCAAGUUUUUAAUAUUUUAGUUUUAAUGUUAAUUUAAAUAAAGAUAAAUAAUGUAGCAUUCAACCAUUUAAACGAUAAAUGAGUGCAAUAAUUAGCACAUGAACUUGAAUGAUAAUAACAGGAGAUUUGACAAGAAAAAUUCUUAAAAUAUGAAUAUCACCCACCAACACGCCUCUUGCCUUUAUCGUGUGAAGUGGUAGAGUAGCCAUAUUUCCAAUGUAUCCUUCCAUGUGGUGGAUUUUGUGUCAAUUGUAGUUGUUCGGAUCUCCGAGGUGGUGCUGCACUUGUUCAGAUGUUUGGUCCUUGUCAUCAACGGAGAGGUCCAAUACGGGAGUCUGACUGCAUCUAAGACAAGAACCAUGUAUAGACAUCUGGAAAAGGAGCAUUAACGAAAACGCUAUCGUCGUCAAUAUAAAAAAUAUGUGAAAAGCCCAUCGAGAUCCCUAGGAAGUGGUACAUAUAGUCAAGAUCAUCCUAGAACCUAUUUUGUGGACGAAAUGAUGUAUCAUCCUAGAACUUAUUUUGGUCUUCCUACGAAACAAUAGCCACUUUGAGCAGAUGAAGAAGAUGAAGGGGAUUUGGAUGGGGUUGUGCGAGAGAGAAAUAGAAUUGUUAGAAGUUAGGGUUCUUAGUCAAGUGAACAAGAAAAUUGAGUGAACAAUGACUAGUUUUAUAGAAAACUGUUGGCAGAAAUCGUUGUUUUGAUACAACAAUAAUUGUAGCAAUGCUACUUUGACUCAAAAUUUCUUUGACUGAAGCUAUCACCAUUGAUCUCGUUGUGUCUUGUAUGAACGGAUGGUCUAGAGGUGAUGCAUUUAAAAAAAAAAUUUAAUCGCCGCAAAUCCAAUUUGCGGCAAAUGAAAAAAGUACAGAACAAAUGUAUGACCGUUGAUCAAGCGAUGAUCAACGGUCCCAACUCAUUCACCACUGCAAAUGACCUUUGCGGUUUACAAAAAAAAAAAAAAAAAGACCUUCACUGCAAAUCCAAUUUGCAGCAAAUGAUUUGUGGCUUAUUAUUCAUCUUUGUCGCAAAGGUCAUUUGUGGUUUCAAGAAUUUUGCAAAUGGCAAUUGUCUAGUGAGUAGAUCAAUGGUCCACAAAUUUAGUCCUAUGCGACAUUAAAAAAUAAAAAUUCCUUCGCCGCAAAUUUUGUUUGCGGCAAUAGGAUUGAGAAAUUUUUUCCUCCAAAUCAUGACCGUUGAAUAUACGUUAAUCUACGGUGAUAUCUAACUGAAAUAUAAAAUUGUACCGAUUCUUAAGAACAUGAAAAAAAGGAAAAAUGGGUUGAAUUUUUGUUGCGCCGAUAUUCCCACUUGCGGCGAUCUUUAUAUUAUCCACCCUCCGACCACAACGCCACUUUUGUGAUAAUUUUUUAUUUCAAUAAUAUUUCGAGAAAUUUGCCUAGCAGCUUUAUGUCUAACUAAAAAUGAUACUCAAAGGUUUAGCUAUUACUCUACAUACAUCCAAGUUCAGAAAACCAAAACAAAACAAAAAGAAAAAAAAUGAUUCUUAAACAAUUCAAUGAUUCUUUUUGACCAAGUCUCCUUAAAUGGAGCCCCUCAUAAAGCCUGCUUUUGGUCUAACUUCACUUUCCUCCUCAAAAUACCAUGCAAAUUGAUUCUUCUGUCUCUUUCAUCCUACAAGAAGACACUUUCAUCCUCUGUUGGGUAAAAAGCAAAAAAUUGGCAAAUAUUGUGACAAGAAUUGGCUUCAAAUCGUGAUAGAAAUCACUUUCCUUUAGGCUUUAUUUGUCCGAUAUAAAGUGCAAUAACCUUGGACAAAUAUCCUUUAGGAUAAGAUGAAGUUUUGUUUGUCUUAAACUCUUGCACAAAGCAAGACAAACCCUUUGUGAACUAAGGAGUGCUUUUGAGAGAGUAAGGAUAGUAGGAAAGUGAUUUUCUGCAGCAAACCACUCUCUACUUGACCUCUUUAUAUAGGAAGAUUGUUUGGGAAACAAAAGAUCUCAUUAAACACUUGUAUGAAUAGAUUCAAAGUAUUGUGUAUGAAUAGAUUCAAAGUAUUGUGUACACAUUCAUGCACUUUAAUUCAUGCAUCUCAUGAUCAUUAGAUCAAAACAUGAAUCUAUCCUUUCAUUCAAUAAUUCCCAUAUACAUGAAUACAUUCAUAAAUGAAUGUACAUUUUAGAAACAUUCACAAUACUAUACAUGUACCAAAAAUUAAUGAAUAUACAUUAAUUCAUGUAUGUACAUCAUACAAAUUUUGAAAAGUUUCCAACAAUCCCCCGCCAUUUUCAAAAUUUAGAAAAUGGAUUUCUAAAAGGUCACCAAGUAAUCUGACACUCAUAUGCAUAAAUAAUGGUGUCUUUCGAUUGAACCACUAUCUUAGUGAAGGUUCUUUGAAAUCAAUCCUUCAAGAUGGUAGACAAGCUUUGAACCACUUGGACAUUGGACCAACCUCAUAAACACAUCACACACUGAGCAAUGCACAACCAUAAGUUCUUCAACGAUACAUUUUACGGCCUUGUAUCACUAUCCUUUCAUGAAUGUUUACAAAGUAAAGUCCUUAACUUUGUGGUUUGCCGAAAACCAACAUUCAUAUAGGCGACAUCUUAGUGCCCCCGCCAUAGAUAGCACUUUUAAGAUUCGUUAAGAGUCCAAUGACUCAUCCUUACAUUUGCACUGGCGAGAAUAACAUGCACUAUUCAACAUUGGGAUGUCUAAACUUCACAUAGUGCACCAACCACUAGAAUGGUGUACUUUCACUCAUUGAAUUCAAGACUAGACGUUGUAUCUAGCGUUGAAUUGAGGUUCCACCAUUAGUGAUCAAGAAUUUUGGACUUUAAACCCAUCCCCUUGAUGUCUUUGACACCAAAUUUCUUGAUAAUCCUUUUGUCAAAGGAUCACUUAAAUUUUCAUUUGAUCUCACAAAGUCAAUUGAUAUGACUCCAUUUGUAAUCAAAUCUUUGACAUAACUAUGUCUCAAACCGAUAUGUCUUGAUUUACCAUUAUACACUUGACUAUAUGCUUUAGCAAGUGUAGCUGCACUAUCACAAUGGAUUGAGAUAGGCGACAAAGGUGUUGGCCACAAUGGUAUAUCACAAAGUAAAUUACGUAGCCAUUCAGCUUCUUUACAGGCCGAAGCAAGUGCUACAAACUCUGCUGCCAUUGUUGAAUCGGUGAUACAAGUCUGUUUCUUAGAACCCCAAGAAAUUGCACCUCCACCAAGCAUAAAGAUCCAACCACUUGUCGACGAGUGAUCAUCUUUAUUGGUGAUCCAACUAGCAUCUGAAAAUCCUUCUAAAACUGAAGGAUAACCGGUAUAACAUAUACCAUAGUCCUUAGUGGCCUUUAAAUACUUUAAAAUUCUGGUUACACCUUGCCAAUGUAACCUACUAGGUUGCUUGUAUAUCUGCUCAAUAUACCAACUGCAUAUGCAAUAUCAGGUCUAGUACAAGUCAUUGCAUACAUUAAACACCCUAUAACCUUGGCAUAUUCCAUUUGAGAUUUUGGAUCCCCCUCAUUUUUCACAAAAUUUAUUUUGGGAUCCAAUGGUGUUGAGCUGGAAUACAAUCACUUUGAUUGAAUUUGUUAAGAAUCUUUUCAAUAUAAUGUGUUUGAGACAACAUUAUAUUGUUAUCAUGUUUGAAGAUUCUCAUACCAAGAAUGACAUCUGCCUCACCCAUGUCUUUCAUGUCAAAUUUGCUUGAAAGCAAAGUUUUUGUGACUUCAACUUGUUCCAAGUCAGUCCCAAAAAUCAACAUAUAAACAAAUUAUGACACCUUUGCCAUCAUCAAACUUGCUAUAAAUACAUUUAUCAGAUUCAUUUAUUUUGAACCCACUAGCAAGAAUAACUUGGUCAAAUUUCUGAUGCCAUUGCUUCGGUGCUUGUUUUAGUCCAUAUAAAGACUUUACAAGUUUACACACCUUAUGCUCUUGACCAGGUAUCACAAACCCUUCGGGUUGCUCCAUAUAUACUUCUUCAUCCAAAUCACCAUUCAAGAAUGCUGUUUUAACAUCCAUUUGGUGAAUGACUAGAUUUUGGAUAGAAGCUAUAGCAAGUAGCACUCUAAUUGUAGCAAUUCUAGCUACUGGUGAAUAUGUGUCAAAAUAGUCCACACCAUACUUUUGUGUGAACCCUUUGGCAACCAACCUGGCCUUGAACUUAUCAAUAGUUCCGUCGAUCUUCAUUUUCUUCUUGAAGAUCCACUUACAACCAAUUGGUUUUGAACCAGGUGGUAAGUCUACUAAUUUCCAGGUUUUAUUACCCAUGAUUGAGUCCAUCUCAUCAUUAAUAGCUUCCUUCCAAAAGGGAGCAUCUUGUGAGUUCAUUGCUUCUUCAUAGGUCUUGGGAUCAGCCUCAAUAUUGAAGCAAUAUGAGAUUUGGUUGCUCACUGUAUCUCUAGUUCCUUCAACUAGAUACAUAUAAAAGUCCGAACCGAAGUCUUUUGACUUUCUAGCUCUUUUGCUCCUUCUCAAUUCAAUGGUUUCAUUUUCACCAUCUUUUGUCAAUUCACUUGAUUUUGGAAUAACAUCUUUUAUAGAGGUGAACCUAUUCUCUUCAAAAAUAGCAUCUCUAGACUCAAUUAUGGUAUUAACCGAAAUUGAAUCAUUAGGUUCAAUUACCAUGAACCUAUAUGCUUUGCUAUUUUGUGCAUAUCCUAAGAAUAUACACUCCACACCUCUUUCUCCCAAUUUCCUUUUUUGAGUUCUGGGAGUUUUACAACAGCUCUACAACCCCAAACUUUCAAAUAGUUUAGGUUGGGCUUCCUUUUAUUCCAAAAUUCAUAAGGGGUUAUAGAACUCCUUUUAUUAGGAACUCUAUUUAGGAUAUGACAAGCCGUUAACAAGGCUUCACCCCAAAAUCCUUGACUUAAACCAGAUUUUGACAAAAGUGCAUUAACCAUUUCUGUCAAUACACGAUUUUUCCUUUCGGCUACACCAUUUUGUUGUGGUGUGUAAGGAGCAGUCACCUCAUGUUUUAUCCCAACAGACUCAAAAUAGGUAAUAUCAUAAUAUUCCCCACCUCUAUCUGUCCUUAGACAUUUGAUAAAGGAUUCACAAUGAAGUUCAACUUCUGAUUUGUAUGCCUUAAAUUUUUGCAAAGCUUCACCUUUUGAGUGUAAAAGAAAACAUGACAGUAUCUACUAUAAUCAUCAAUAAAAGUCACAAAGUACUUUUUACCACCCAAAGUAGGAGUACCAUGCAAAUCACAUACAUCACUAUGAAUAAGAUCCAAGAUUUUAGAUGAUCUUUCAACUUUAGGAAACGAAUUUCUUGUGAUUUUCGUUAGCAUGCAUGUAUUGCAUUUUCCUUCAAUCUUAUCACAAUAUGGCAGCAAAUCAAGUCUCAUCAUUUCAUGCAUUCUUUUGUAAUUAACAUGACCAAUCCUAUUAUGCCACAAUUCAAAAGAAGACUCAACCAAAUACGCAGAAAUAAUAUCACUCUUAUUAUUUCUAAUAGCAAGUACAUUCAACUUAAACAUCCCAUUGCAAAGAUAACCCUUGCCUACAAACAUACCACCUUUAGACAAAAUAAAUUUGUCAGACUCAAACACAAGUCUAAAGCCAAAUUUAUUUAACAGCCCAGCCGACACCAAGUUCUUCCUAACUUCCGGUACAUAAAACACAUUUGUCAAGGUUACAACAUUUCCGGAAGUAAAUUUUAAUUCUACUUCUCCAAUGCCUUGAACCGGAAUUGUAGCAGAAUUUCCCAUGUAAACAACGGUGCUUUCAUCCACCGGUUUCAUGGACUUGAAGAACGUUCUAUUGUUGCACACGUGUCGCGUAGCUCCAGAAUCAACCCACCAAGCAAAAUCAUCUUCAAUCAUAUUGAUUUCAGAUAUCAUUGCUACAAGAUUUUUGCUUGUGUUUUGGGAAGACUCUUGCUUCUUCUUCUUGUUUUGAAGAAUCUUGCACUCGGACUUGUAGUGUCCCUCUUUCUUGCAAUAGAAGCAUUGUCCCUUCUUUCUUUUCUUGGAUUGAUUCUUGGGUUGUUGGCCCUUCUUGCUUUCUUGAGACUUUUCAGUUUGCCUCUCUUCAAUCACAUGCACUUUUGAAGUAGAAUCUUUGUUCUCUUCAAGGAUUUGACUAUCCUUCUUUUCUUGCAUGCGAAUUUCCUCUUCUACUCGAAGAGAUUUAGCAAGAAUCUCAAGAGAGAUAUCCUCUUUCUUAUGUUUGAGGUCUCUUUUGAAAUCUUUCCAAGAAGGUGGUAACUUAUCUAUUAUAGAGCAAACAAUAAUGGCUUCAUCCAUGUGUAGAUUGUGUUGUGUGAAGUGAUUAAGAAGCCUUUCAAUCUCACUAAAUUGCUCCAUAACAGACUUAUUAUCUACCAUUUUAUAAUUAUUAAAAGACGAGACAAGAAACUUCUUACUUGUAGCAUCUUCUUGCAUGUACUUGGACUCCAAUCGAUCCCAAAGUUCCUUGGCGGUAGCAAUUGAAUGGUAGACAUCGAACAGGUUGUCACUCAUGGUAUUGAGGAUGUGACCACGGCAUAUUUCAUCGUCGUUCUCCCAUUUCUGACGGUUUCGGAUGUCUUCAAGAGUUUCUUCAUCGGGAUUGAUCAAUGGUUUCGAUGUGGUCAAAACAUAGACCACUUUGAGUGCAGUGAGAAGGAAACGAACACGUUUUUGCCAACGAAUGAAAUUCCCUCCAUCAAACCUCUCGAGCUUGACAAUAUUGGAUGCCAAAUCUUUCAAGGUACCAGCCAUUGUAGAGUAUAAAUAAAGCCUAAAGAUUGUUGGGUAAAAAGCAAAGAAUUGGCAAAUAUUGUGACAAGAAUUGGCUUCAAAUCGUGAUAGAAAUCACUUUCCUUUAGGCUUUAUUUGUCCGAUAUAAAGUGCAAUAACCUUUGACAAAUAUCCUUUAGGAUAAGAUGAAGUUUUGUUUGUGUUAAACUCUUGCACAAAGCAAGACAAAUCCUUUGUGAACUAAGGAGUGCUUUUGAGAGAGUAAGGAUAGUAGGAAAGUGAUUUUCUGCAGCAAACCACUCUCUACUUGACCUCUUUAUAUAGGAAGAUUGUUUGGGAAACAAAGGAUCUCAUUUAACACUUGUAUGAACAGAUUCAAAGUAUUGUGUAUGAAUAGAUUCAAAGUAUUGUGUACACAUUCAUGCACUUUAAUUCAUGCAUCUCAUGAUCAUUAGAUCAAAACAUGAAUCUAUCCUUUAAUUCAAUAAUUCCCAUAUACAUGAAUACAUUCAUAAAUGAAUGUACAUUUUAGAAACAUUCACAAUACUAUACAUGUACCAAAAAUCAAUGAAUUUCAUGUAUGUACAUCAUACAAAUUUUGAAAAGUUUCCAACAUCCUCCAAAUUUGUCUAUGCAUCAGAGGCUCCAAAAGCUUUAAAAAAUGUGAAUUAUGGAAAAGUAUAAUAUGAUAGACUAUAUUAAAACUAUUAUCCAAACUUGCACUUUGUUGAUGUUUUGUUUGGUUCAUUCUAAUAGAUAUGAAAUUUGUUCUCAAUAAAAUUGUGUCAAUUCAAAAAAAAAUGUGUGCUGAUUUAGGAUGACCAACCCAAAUAUUGAGAGUAGAGAUUAGAAGAAUUUUGGUAACUGAGGCUUGGCCAUUUGAGUGGGGAAAAGGUAAGGAUUGUGGUUUUAUGACUAACGGUUUGAUAGGCAAUACACGGAAGAAAUCUAUAGAGAGAUAAAGAUUAUGAAGGUAAGAAUUACGACGGUGAAUUUUGACAUCUACAACAAAGAGUUUGUUUGAAAGAAGAAAAAGUGAUAAAAGUAUGAAAGUUUGGGUGGAUGUAAAAAUCAUGGAGUGGAAAACAUCAAAACAUUGGUUAAGGAAUAAAACUCAUAAUUUCGUAGUAUACAAGUAUAUUCUUGACUUUUAAAAUUUUAAUGAUUAUCCAUAUUAAGAAAAUUUAGAUGAGGGCAAUUUUCAGCAUUCAUAUACUUUUUUGAUCUUAUAUUCAUCGAGGUAAAACCCAAAUCUAUGUUUUAGUGGAGGUAUAUAUAAUUUUUAAAGUAUGAGGAGAGCUGUCUGAAAUUAUCCCAAAAUAAAAGAAACAUCCUUUACUACAGUCUACCAUGAAUACCAAAUUAGUUGUGGUCCAUUCUUUAAAAUUUGAAACCUGUGUGGUAACAAUGCAAAUUAUGGUGCGGAAGUUGCUUAAGAACGAAGCGUCCAUCGUUGAAUAAUUCUCGCCCGAACAAAUGAUUUACCCUUCGAAAGUUUCAAGAGACAGGCUCCUUUCAUAUCAAAGACGCAUUUCAACUUUAAUCUUCUCGAAAGUUGCACAAAUGCUGGCAGAACAGCAAAAGGCCUUUUGCUUUUCUCCUUUUUUCCUCUUUCCUUGAUCUCAUUGUUGGUCAAUAUGAAGCGACAAAUCGUCACCUUCACUUUCGCCUCCUUAAUUCCUCCAAAAAUUUUCUAGCUUUGCAUCUCUUCAAGCCUAAGCUUCUUGGGAUUUCACAAAAUAAAAGAAAAAGAAAAAAUUUAAAAAGGCAAAGAGAGAGUGACAAAAGUAGAAGAAAAACUUUAAGAUUAAUUUUCUUUACUGAUAAUUUAUAUAUUAUCACUGUUAAAAUUAAUUAGAAUUCGAAUUUAAAAUUUAGAUUUUGUAUAUAUAUAUAUCUGCAUUAAUAAUAAUAAUGUAUGUACUAGCUAUUGGUAUAUAUAAAAUAAACUCAAAAUUUUAUAAUAUUUAAUUUUAUUUUGUAAAAACUUCAUAAUUUUUAGACUCCUAUACUAGACUUUUGUCCUUCAAUCUUUACUUUAGCAAAGUUAUGUAGAAAACAACUCCCACUAGCUCACAAGGUGUUCUUUAUCGAAACUGAUUUUAAAUAAGUGUACAAAAAAAAAAGUGUAAACAAUGCCAACAAAGUGUACCACUUUUUUUUUUCUUUUUUCCUGAAAUCUCCAAAGGUUUUUUGCUCCUGCCAACCACAAAACAGUGUAAUUAAUGCUAAUUUAGUUGCAUCCAUGCUAUGCGGGUCAUAUAUAUAGAGAUAGAAUCAUAGAAGUAAAGCAAGAGAGAAGCAGAGGAAACUUGAAAGUUGUAAAGAGGAAAGUAGUAUAGAAGAAAGAAAAUCAACAUGGGAGUUCCAUCAUUUUUCCGAUGGUUAGUUCAAAAUAUCCAAAGAUAGUAUCUGAUGCUAAUUCAGAUGAAAAUCACCAUGGCUUAGAGUUCGAUAAUCUUUACCUUGACAUGAAUGGAAUCAUUCAUCCCUGUUUCCAUCCAGAAGAUAUGGUCUCUCUCUCUUCGUUUUCCUUCAUGCAUUUUUCUUUUGAGUUUCCUCGUACGUGUUUAUCUUUUGUUGGUUUCCAUGAUGACUUCUGUUGUAUUUGCAUAAAAAUUUCAUGUUUUGUUUAGUAAGCUACCAUAAUUAUCUAUUGUCUUUCUCCUUUUACAAAAAAGAUUUCCCCAUUGUUCUUUUUUUUUUUAUUUACUAGUGACCAAGUUUUUUUUUUUUUUUGGGGAUUAAUCAGAGGCUUAAGGUUUACUACUGUAAUACUUUUUUCAGUUGUUUCCUCCUAGUACAUUUGAAGAUGUGUUCUCCAACAUCUACGACUAUAUCGACCAACUCUUCAACAUCGUUAAACCCCGUAAACUUUUGUACAUGGCCAUAGGUAGGUUAAUUUUUCCAUUUUGAUCAUGUCAAAUUUAAUUUCACAUCAUUGGCUUUCGAAAGACAAAACAACAAAAAUGGGAGAGAUUAUAACUAGUUGAUUAAUUGACAAUUUUCAUGAGGCAGAUGGGGUGGCUCCCCGAGCCAAGAUGAAUCAACAAAGAGCAAGACGGUUUCGAACCGCAAAGGAUAAUGAAGCUGCUGUGAGUAAUUUUCUUGAUUGCAACAAUUAAUCAAGUCAAUGUUUGGUUCAUUAUCCCAAUUGCGUAAUAUUCAGAUGAGGCUAUUCUUUUAUAGGAUAAAAUUCUGAAUUUCAACUAUGAUGGAUAGUCGAACGCCUUUGUCCCGAUGUACCAAUGUCCAAUUCUGCAUUUGGCACUAGAAUAGCUGCUGUAUUAGCAGGAUUGAUAGCUAAAUCCGAGUAACAAGUGGUUGAACGCUGCCUUAGAAAAUCUACAAUUGGUUACAACUGAAGUGGAGGAUCUACACUUUGGCUAGUGGAGGCAUGUGCCUCAAUUCACCAAGGGAAAAUUUUCAAUUCCGAGUAUAAAAUUUUCGAAAGAUUUACUUUAACAUGCUAAGUUAACUGGCACAAAAAAAUUUUGUUUUUACCUUUUUACACCAAUAACUGGUGGAAAUUAAUUAUGAAGGAGUGGCUAUGAGUGAUCUGAUAACGAUUUCUAAUGAAAUGAACCGUAACAAAAUAUAUGUUACAAGUACAAAACCAAUGUUUUAAUUACGGAGUUUAAUGUAUCGGUGGCUAUCUUCUUAUACAUGAAAAUUCACUGAAGAUUUUGUCUGGCUUGGCCACCGUUGGUUAUGCCAUAUUGACAAUUAUUUUCACUGAUGUUUAAUUCAGGAAGAGGUGGAAACGAAGCUGAGGAAAAAAUUUGAAAGGGAAGGCAAGAAGGUUUUGCCUAGAGAAGAAUCAGAAUUGUCUGAUUCCAAUAUUAUCACUCCAGGCACAGAAUUUAUGUACUUAUUGUCUAAGAAACUGCAAAACUAUAUUAAGCGCCGAAUGACUACUGAUUCGCGCUGGAGCAAAAUCAAGGUGCAUUGUUAUUACGUACUACAUUGGUCUGAAAUGCAAGAUUCAUCAAUUAAUUAUUGGUCUGAAAUGCAAGAUUCAUCAAUUAAUUAUGUACUUCAUUAAUCACUUGAAAAAAUUGUUAGGUGAUUCUCUCGGAUGCAAAUGUUCCUAGCGAAGGGGAACAUAAGAUAAUGUCUUUCAUUCGUGCUCAGCGCAGCAGUGAAGGUUAUGAUCCGAAUACUCAGCAUUGUCUAUAUGGCCUGGUAGCUAGUUAACCUUCCCCUUGAUGAAUAUUUUAUAGGAAGUUUAGCCUAUUUGAACUUGAAAAUUGGCAAGCUAAAGUUAUUGAUUUGAAUGCAGGACGCGAUUUAAUCAUGCUUGCUUUGGCAACGCAUGAGGUGCAUUUUUCGAUAUUGAGAGAGGUAAUGCUACAAUCAACUGCUUUUUUUUUUUGGUGCUACCAUAAUUUGCCUAAUUGGAUAGUGCGUACUUGUUAAAUCCAUGAUUUGUUAAUCCAUACGGUCUUGAGUUAAAUUAUUUGUUGUCUUUCAAAACAGGAUGUUUCGUUCACGAGGAAAUAUUAAAUGGAGUGUCAGAACUUGAACGUAGUGCCCAAAGCAGAAUCAUAUUCAGGAAAGUGUAGGGGAUGGUUUAAGCAGGUUGGAACUGUUUCCAAAACUUGUGAUUCGAAUGCAGAUUCUUCUACUUUAUUGCUUAAUUAUAGUUGCUCUAAGAUGUCCUAGUGUUUAACAUGUUGUGAAAUGAAGAACUUCUGUUUUCCAAUGUUUGUAAUUUGCCAAAGGUUGUAGACAAGUCAGAAUCAGUGCCAAAGCCCGCUUCCUGCCACAUUGAGGUAGUAUCAGCGUCAGAGAAAUCAGACAGAUGCAGUGAAGCGAGCAAAAAAUUAAAUAGAAGAUUGCCUGUGAUGAAAAAACCUUUUCAGGUGUGAGAAACAAACCUGAGAAACAUUAGUAUUAUUGCACCAAUGGUUGAACAUUGCAAUCAUGUUUUGACAGAGAAAAGGGAAAAUGGAAAAUGACUUGUUUUUUUAUUGACUCUCUUUGAAACUGUGUUUGCAGUAUUUGCAUAUCUGGCUCCUCAGGGAGUACCUGCAUAUCGAUCUGAACAUAAGCGAUCCUCCUGAGAAUCUGAACAUAGAUUUGGAGCGUAUAAUUGAUGACUUCAUAUUCAUCUGUUUCUUCACUGGCAAUGACUUCUUACCCACAUGCCCACUCUAGAAAUCCAUGAGGUUUGUACUGUCUCUGAUUUUGCAGUUAGAUGUCUUGAAAUAAUUAUGUUUUCUUGCUUUAUACAUUCUUCUUACUUAUGAUUACAGGGUGCAAUUGAUUUACUGAUGUAUGUUUAUAAGAAAGAGAUGAAGAAUCUUGGUGGAUACUUGGUUGAUACACAUUGGGUACCUAACAUUAUCUUGUAUUAAGCAAUCAAUUACUGCAAUUGCAACUUGGGCGUUUAACCGCCUUUGUUUUAAUAUAAUUUCUGAAAGCAGAUUGAGGACAAGAAAGGCAGAUAUAUAAAAUUGAAAAGGGUCGAGAAAUUUAUACUUUCAGUGGGUGAGUAUGAAGAAAAAAUAUUCAAGAAAAGAUUAGAAAUCAAGGAAAGAAAGCUCAGGAGGAUCCAAUCAGAACUUUUGAAUGCUGUGAGUGUUGACAAUUGAAUGAUUCAGUGUGGCCAGUAUUUCUUGGCCUGAGGCUGUCUGCUACAUAAAAUUAAUUGGGAUAUCCUGUAAUUCUUGUCUAGCAGGAUACUGAAGAUGAUGGAUGUAUUGAAGCAAAUUUGUGGAGCAGCUUAGGAAAUACUGAUAAUGCAUUUCAGGAUAGAAAAAUGUCGGAGAUUGUGGAUUCUACAAGUGGUUUAGAUGAAAAAGAUAUUCUUUAACUGAUUAUUCUGAAGUAAGAUAUUACUCUCUCUGAAGUACUUCUUUUCAUCACUGUAUAUCUCUUCUAUUUGCAUUUGUUUUUAUAAUUAUUUCAUUUAUUUUAGUCUGCUGUCUAUCUCAUAGUUUUCGCUUCUAAUGCCUCAGGUUCUGAACAAUACAAAAGAGUUAAUGCAAGAGUUGAAAGAUCGCAUCCAGCACCAGUCAGAUACAUUCAGAAAUGGUGGCCUUUUUCAGAUAAGGUUAAUGAAGUGGAUAUCUUUUGUCAGGCAGUUCAUUAGAUUUUUGAUGAUUGAAGAUGACAGAUGAAUAUUUGGACUAAUUCCAGGUAAAACUGGGUGUUCAAGGAUGGAAAAAGAGAUACUAUGAAGUUAAAUUUUCUGCAAAAACAGAUGAGGUGGAACAGAGACGUAGAUCGUUGGUAUGAUAUUACAUGCUGUAUUAUCUUAUCUCCUUACUAUUGUUAUAGGUAAUAAUGAGAUCAAUCUUCUGGUCACAAAGCAUUAGUUGUUCAUUAGAUUAUGCUGAGACAUAUAAACAUUCUUCAAGCAUGAGGAAGAUUUUUUUCAAGUAUCUAGCUUAUACAAUCCCAACGCAUGCAUAGGAGCAUUAUGUUGAUUUUUAUCAGGAAAAAGCAACUGAUUCUUUUGCUUAGUAUUGCACCUAUUUCUAGUGAUUUCACCAUUCUGAUUUCUAGGUAGCGAAGUACACUGAAGGACUGUGUUGGGUCCUAAAGUACUACUUUUCUGGAGUUCCAUCAUGGACUUGGUAAGAAAAAUUCUGCAAAUUUCUGGGAUUGAGAUAGACUUGUUCACUAAUAUAUGUUCCGUCCAUUGUAUCCCACUAGGUUUUAUCCAUUUCAUUAUGGUCCAUUUGCUUCGGACCUAAAAGGCCUUACUCAAGUGAAUGUGAAAUUUCAAAAAGGUCUACCUCUGAAACCUUUUGAUCAGCUCUUGGCUGUCCUCCCUCCAAAAAGGUAAUUUGCCACCCUGAUUUUUGUGUAUUGGAAUCAUUUUGAGAUUACUUUUAUUCUUACCGUAUUCUUUUAUUCUCCGACUUCUGACGAGUGACAAAUAGUUGCCACGCUCUUCCUGAAGCAUACAAGAGACUUAUGGUUGAUGCAGAUUCAAGUAUUCUUGAAUUUUAUCCAGCCCGUAAGGCUACUUCUGAUGUUUGUACUCAAUUUAAAGUAGGUUAACCAGAAUAUAAUUGACUAUAUUACUCAUGUUGAAAAUUUGAUGUUCAGGUUUUGAGACGGAUGCAGAUGGAAAGCGCUUCAUGUGGCAGGUUUGUCCUAUAUAUCUAUAAACAACUUAUCUCUUUGUUAAACAACUUGAAUCUUUUACACAAUUUUAGUUAAACAACUUAUCUCUUUGAAUCUUUUACACAAUUUUCUUCCUUUCAGGCUAUAUGCAAGUUACCAUUCAUUCAAGAAGACCGCCUCCUAGUAGAGACUAAAAAGGCUGAAACAGAAUUAAAGGUUUGGAAUAUUUCCAUUUGAUAUAUCUGUAUUUGCUUUGGUAGUAUGCUUCUUUCCUUGUUGACGGUUUUUAGAUACACAUUGCUUAAUCUGAAAGCCUAUGUUUGAGCAUGUAGCAAGCUCACAUGUUAAUUUUUUUUUUUUUUUAACUAAUAGCUAUAGUCAAUCUCACUGAAGCUGAAGCUGUGUACUGUGUACUACUGCAUGUGGAUUUGAUAACUUGGACCUUUGAUUUUGACGAUAUGUUUAACUUCAUUCACGCUACGUAGGACCAUGAGAAAGAGAGGAAUGCUGAGACUGCUGAUCAAUUGUUCAUAGGGAGUUCAGUGGUUUGGGUGAACAAAUUAGUUCAGUCUACAAAAAUUGCACAUCUUUCAUGCAGAAUGAUUAUAUCAAGAUCAAUGACAUGUUGAAGUAAGUAAAUCAUCCCUUUUACUUUUUCCAAUUUUUGUCUUUUUGUCUGCCUAGUUUCGUGCAUGAAAUUUACUGAAAGUAACUUAAAUCUGUGACCUGGUAACUAACAGGUUUCUCCAUUGUGCCUAAAUAUCAUUGGCCAAAUCGAAUGCAUAGCAUUUCUAUGUGUUGAUUAAGUAGCUUUAUCAUGGUUAAGAAGUGAAACAAAGUAAAAUAUCACCAUUUGCUGGUUUGAUCUGAUUGUUAUCUAUCCCUUGAAACCAAAAAUAUUAAUGGUUAUCCAAGAGUAUGGAUCAGCAUUCAAUUCCAACACCUUGCAAGAGGUGGUUUGGAUUGCUGAAUUUGCGUGAUGAGUCAAUUGUAUACCGUAUAAGCUUGUCUCACAGUUGCAACAAUGGAUUAACAAUGGUGGAUCUGUUUGUGCCAUUAUCCUCAGCGAUGGACUGAGUGGGUUCAUGCAUCUUUGUGAAGCAGAUCAAGAUGUCUUGUAAGCAAUCGCCGAUCUCUGUUAAUCUUGAGAAGUUUUCCUGUUGGAUAGAUGCUCACUGCUCCUGUUUUGUUUGCCUGUAGCUGUGCAUUCUACAAGCUUCCUUCGGACUAUGUGCCUAAACGGCAUCUUGCGGAAGGAGUAAAUAUUCCAGAGGAGGUACGCAAAUGCAUUUAUCUGCUGGACAAGCUUAAUCCUGUCAAGUUCUCCUCAAAAGGAAUAAAAAUCUUGUCAACUUUACAAGGGAAAGCAUUUCUUCUCAAAGCCAGUUUGAUAACUCCGAUCAAAAAUGAAAAAACUGAUAAAUUGCAAACUUCAAGCAUGAUGUAGAUUUGGAAUUGGAAAAAUAGUUUUCAUUAAUAGAGUAGACAAAUGCUGAUUGACUUGUUAAAAUGCCUAUAAAAUUUGAAUCACUAUAUAUCCGUGCAGUCAAUAUCUGAAGCAGAUAUAGUGAAGAGAGAGCUUGGCAUGAAUACAAUGGCAGCGCUCCCAACAGAGCAUUGGUGAAUAGGAACCAUGUUCAGAAAUCUAGCCUAAAGAACAAAGAACCUGCAGUCAUCAGCAAAUUUGCUGGCACUGGAUGGAGUGUUGGUAGAGGAAAACUUAACAACUCUACUACUCAAACAGGGCCAGUUCCAGCUUUGAAGUCAUAUGCUCAUUGUGUAGGAAACCGUUCCUUUCUAUCAUCAAGUACCUCAACUUCUGCUAGCGGUCAUAACUGGAGGCUUCAAAAACAAUCAAAUACUUCUGCAUCAGAUAAUAGCUGGAGCAGAUGGCAAAAUACGGACAAGGACUCGUGGCAGUCUAGUUCUACAAGUAAUGCAAGUCCUGCUUGGAGGCAGAGCCAGCCAUUUUCUUGUGCAUCCCCUGGGCAGCAGGUUCAUGGGAGAGGCCAAUAUCUUCACAAAUCUUCUAAUUCUUGUGCAUCCCCGCAGCAACAGGUUCAUGGGAGAGGCCAAUAUUUUCACAAGUCUUCUAAUUCUUCUGCAUCCCCUCGGCAACAGGUUCAUGGGAGAGGCCAAUAUGUUGACAAAUCUUCUCAUAGUGCUUGGAACACUGAAGCAGAUACGGAAGGAACAAUAGUGAACGGUGGUAGUUGUUUCUUUUGAACCAUAUAAUAGGUGGACUGGAACGUUUUGAACUUUUUGUCAUCUGACCUGUAGAACUCUGAAACCAAGAACUUAAGAGAUCAGUUAUAUUUUGCCAUCUCAAAGUAAACUACCUGGUUGUUGUUCGUUUCUUGGGCAUGAAUUUUGUGAGGUUUAAGCUGAGGAAGGUGAAUCUUCUCUUCUGCAUUUGUAUCCAGAUUCUCUGAAGUUUGGCUGUUUCUGAGUUCUUUCUAUAUAAGCAGGAUUGGGAUUCAAACUGUAAAUAUUAAUUUUAGGAUUAAUUUCAAAUAACACCCUUGAAAAAUACCUUUUCCUCACGUUGCCCUCCCUAAAUCUUUAAUUGAACCAAUUUACUCUCCGUGGCAUUACAAAUUUCACAACCCGGUAAAAUUAGAUCAAGAAACUAAAUUUCUAGCUGCAUGGUCCUGUGAAGUGGCCAUAUUACCCUACAAGUUCUUACGUUCCAAUAUUUUUUUAAUAUUUACUUUACAAGAAAAUUUCCAACACAAUUUAGCUAUUCCCCUGCAUUCUAUUUUUAUGCAACUUGUAGCUUAUUAUCAAUAAUUGAGGUUGAGUUUGUUAUAUAUUAGCUUACAACUACUAUUUUUCAUAUGUUUGUUACAACUAAGAAAUAUAUUUAAAAAUGUGGUCGCUAAAUACAGUAUACUUCAUGUUUUACACUUCAAAAGUUUUUGAAUUAAGUGUAAUUAUCCAGAGUUCAUUUUUACCUAUUUUAUUAGUUUAAAAGUCAGUUUGAUAAUACAUUUUGUAAAGCAUUGGGAAGGCAAUUUGAUCAAUUCAUGAAACGAAAGUAUGUGUGUUGCACAUGGCUAAUCUAACCCGAGAUUAGGCUGUCCAACCCAACUGUACCUGAGUAGGUAUAAAUGAGUCGAAUCGAGUCCAGUUUUAACUUAAUCGAGCCGAGUUUCAAGUUAAUUUUACGAAACUCGAACUUAUAUAAAAUAUUAAGGAUAUAUAUAUGUAAAAUAAAAAAUAAAUAUAUAUAAUUGAGCUCGCGAGCUUGGUAUUUUUGAGUUCGAAUUCGAUUUGAUUAGCUCAAUCUCGACUUGACUUCGAUAUUGACCGCGCUCGACUCGAGUUCGUAUUCGAGGCUGCUCGCGAUCGGCGAUUGCAGCCCUAUACCUGAGUGAAAAAAUCAUAAUGAGAAAAAGUGGUGCGGCGCAUUCUACAUUGAUUCAAUUAACAUUCAUGGGGGACAAUGUGAGGAAGUGGCACUUUUCAAGGGGCUUUGUUGUUAUUAUUAUUAUUUUGUGUCAAUCGGCAUUUAUCUAUCCUACACUUACUUCUACUUCCACUCUAACUUAUUCUAAGGGGCUUUAUUAUUAUUAUUAUUUUCUUUUUGUCAAUCGUACUUGUCUACCCUACAUUUACUUUUACUCUCACUCUAACUUAUUCUAAGGGGGAAGACCCAACUGGACCUAUUGGCGAGCCCAACUGGACCUAUUGGCGAACUGACAAGAACUGAACUACCAACGAAUCAGACAGGUGCACUAUGCACCCGUAUGAAUUUAGACUAUUUAAAAUGGAAAGCCACGGAUAAUGAUAAAUGAUGAAAAACAAAGUUUGAGUCUUGACUUUCCAUCCCACCAAGCCUUAAAGAAAAGACUAUGGUAGUGGCCAACAGGCCAAAGCUGUUGUUUUCAAGGGCUUUAUUGGAUUCAGGCCCCUAAUUGCAUUUUGAACAUUUAGAAUUUUGUGGCAUGGGGUGCAUAUGCCAUCAGCCAAUUUUAGCCUAUCCCAAAAAAAUGGCAAGAGCACUCGGUCCACCUCACCUGCACAAGUACACCUUACCAAAAGCAAGAAAGAUGUCCAAAUACUGGACUUCCUGUUACUUCUAUGAUCUAUCCACUUUGAACUCUCUCAGUUUUUCACCGUAUGUGUCGUGAAGAAUCAUGAGACUUGCGGUGGCAGGGGUUUGGUGGUGGUGGUGGUGCAGCAGAGGAGGAAACAGAUCAUUUCAUUCACGGCAGCAGCUUACAAAGAAGUUCAGACGCUUCAUAUCUUGUAAAAAGCCCACCUCUCUUGUCCGUUGGAUUCCACUGAUGUUUGGAUUCCACCCACCAACAUGUUCUUCUUUUUCUUCUGCAGCUGAGCAUUCUUCAUCUUUCACUGGUAACUCUUUACUUAAAUAAGUGCUUCUACUAUUUAACUAUCCAUGCAAAUGAGACCCUUCUGUUCGCUCUGCAUGUGUAGUUGUUUUACAUUAUAUUUCUAUCUUCAUUUUCUCUUCUAAUGUUAGUCGCACAAUUGGCUACCCAUCCAUGAUGUACUUCUUUUUCUUCUUCUUUUUUUCUCUUCGUGGACAGAAAUAUGCUAUACAAUAAGAAAAUAGGAAGCUAGUAAUUUUUCUUCUUCUUCUUUUUUUUUUUUCUGUUAAUGUUUGAAGAAAUAAUGCGGUAUGAUUAUAGAAAAAGAAGGUUACAAUUUGUGGGGUAAGAUUUCAGAAACUAUAAUUAAUGGAAAGGAAUUAGAAAUUAUGUGGAGCUUGAAUGCAGUUGCUUGGUACGUUAUCUAUGCAAGUCAGGUACUGAUUUAUUUUUCCAUGGUAAAUCAAGAAAUGAGAAGAAAAUAAGGUUUCAUUUAGGCUUGACGGUGGAUUGGUUUUUGAACUAUAAGUAGCUCAACAAGAAUUUCAUACUUUUUGGGGACGAAGCGUUAAACAAGUUAUAGACAUUGGAGGCCAGAGUUGAUCAUCAAUUAUGGAAGAACCAUGGAACACUUAAUAGACUGUAAUACUUGAUACCAAGAUUGUAGGGUUGCUAUUGCAGGCAGCCUCAUAUAGAGAAUCUUCCCGUUAAGUUAAUAUGUUCAUGUAAUACAUUGUCGCUCGGCAGAGGCACCACAGCAACACUGAGUCUAGUAGUGCACUCUUUCACCAAAAUCCCGGAGCAAGUCGCCCGCGAAGCCGACAUUGUGGUGUCUGAUCACUGAUGUUGGAGUUCCAAACAUAAUUAGAGGCCACUGGCUAAAACCAGGAGCAGUUGUGAUUGACAUGGGCACAAAUUCUGUCAAGGCAGAUGCUCCUUGAGUUCUCUUUUCUUGGUGUCUUCUUCCAACUCUUUUCUUGCUGCUGGCCCAAAUAUUGUGUGAUGCAUAUUGGUCUGAUACUUUUGUAGGAUGCCAAAAGUUCAGAUGGUUACAGCCUGGUUGGAGAUGUUUGCUGUGAAGAAGCAAUUAGAAAGGUUUCAGCUAUUACCCCUGUGACUGGUGGUAUUGGCCCUGUUUCCAUCUCCAUGCAUACAAUUGUAAUUUUUGUCUGGAUGGAGGGUCGUGGAUAUUUUUCUUCGUUGUGUGAAGAGUUUCUAUCUUCUUUCCUUUCACCUUCACUUAUCAGCUACUAGAUGAGAACUUUUUCUGAAGUUUCAUUUGAAAACAUAGAACAGCAAUAUGUUAUUCACCUUAGGCUGUAUGUGAAGUUUUACAACAUAAUGUUAAUCUGUUUAGGCAGUUUGUCAAGUUUUACAAAAUUUACAUCCUACGCCACAAUAAUAAAGUUUUUCUUUAUUCUUUUAUCUUCUCCAGACAAAAAGCUAAUCCUUGAAUCUAAAGAUCUAGUUUAAUUGUCCUAGAAUGUUUCAAUAACGGAUAAAACACUAAAUCUGGUCACAGUUUUACUGUUCCUGCACCAACAAAUGGUUACAGUAUAUGAUGGCUAUUGAAAACUAGAAAAUUCAAUUGUUAGUAGCGACUAGAGGGCAGUGGCUGCAUUCUUACUCCAAAGAACUAGAUUUUUAUUUUCAUCCUAACUUUUAAAACUUGAAAGGACAGGCCAAGAAAUGAAACAGCAAGAACAAAGUAAGAUGAAUGUAUAAAAGGUCAAACAAUUCAAUCACAGUCAACAUUCUUUACAGCUUUUAUGUAUUGAUGACAAGUUGAAUGUCUCUAAUCUCCGCAGCUUUACCAUUCAUUAAGAUUUGAGCAACCGUCCUUCGAAAAAAGACGCUAAGGAUCCUGGUCAUAAGGCAUCUGGGUCGUAUGAAGAGUCAAGUUUGAGAAUGGAUUUUCUGUUCAUUUUUAGUUCAUCCAGCAGAGAAGCAUCAGCAAAUCGUAUCAAUGAAGUAUUUCCUCUCAAAUCCAGAUGCUCUACUUUCCCUAAUCAAUAUCACAUACAACACAACGGGGUCAAAAUGAAACUCUCAUCAGAAAGAACACUAAAACAAGGUCAGUAGAUAUCAAACAUCUAAAUGCUGGAAAAAAGAAUGCAGUGCUUUGAGUGGCUAAUUUUUGAUCCAUGGGUAUGAGAAAAUCCUCUAGAACUCUAGUAAGACAAUUUUGGGAAGCAUGGGCACCGAGUGGUGCUGCAAAAGAUGGUUUUCCCUGCUAAAGUUAUGAGAAAUAGUCGUGUCAUGCAGGAAACAAAAACAAAUUUACGCAGAGUCUUUGAAAGGAAUGCUGAUAGUUAAUCAGGAAAUAAUAACUCAUGAAAUGAAUGAAGUGACGUCACUAAGUGAGAAGGGUUGCUUUCUGUAACCUGGAACUUCACUUAAAAAGUCCCAGUGCGAUGGUAUUGAAGGAUAGUUUCAUUUUAACGUUAUAGAUCAGCUUUCUCAAGGGUAAUGGCUGACGUGUACACCUUUCUUGUAUUCUUCGAUGAAGAAGAAGCACAGAAGGAAUUUGAAGAAACCUAGUAAACACUGAAGAGAGCAAGCAAACAACAAAACGCUGAACAAGUGUAAAAUCAGUCACAACAAAACUAGUUUGCUGGAAUUGAGUGCACAAUGUUUCCAGAUUGCUACCCCUCCAUCACACCCCCACCCCAGGAAAAAAAAAAUUAUAAUAAUAUAAUUAGGUGGUAGGCUUGAGGCUCAAAUCCUCCAAUAGAAAGAGUUCAGUGACAAUUGUGCGAUCUCAACUACUAAAUUCAUACUAACCUAUCCAAAAUAUUUGCAAUAUGUAAACGUAACCUUCAUAACUUAUGGUCAGUAUCUGGCCAUUGGAAAAGAAAUAAGCCUAUGCGAAUAAUCACCUUGUAUCAAGAUGUUAAUUUGCAAAAGAUAUAUUGGUUGGAUAUCUUGAUAAAGUGUCAGAACCAAUCAAACAGGUUCCAAUUAAGGCUCUCAUUGGCAGCAAAAAAUGUCAUUAACUAUUUUUUUCAAAAUUCGCUUUAUGCUCACUCUUUUAAAAUCGUCUGAUACCUCCAUUUAGAAAGAUGUACUCCCCUUCAUUAAGAUAAAGUUUUCUGAACUUCAUUUAUAUUAACUCUCACUUCAAAUCUUCUGAUGCAUUCAUAAAAAUGAUCAGCCACUUAAGUGACUUAGGAUCCUGCCAUAGUGGCUCAACUCUAUGCAAAACUUGCCACCAUGGAUGUCUUAUCUCAAGUAAAACUUUCUGAGCCGGACAUAAAAAGGGAUUUUACAGCUCUACUGCCACAAUAAACCAUUGAAAGGAGCAUAGAUGUAGUGAGAAUGUGUGGUUCACCAUACACGACACUUUGACAGGCCUCCUAUCUGUGGUUCUGGUAAUUAUGCAAUUUAUUAUCUUGUAAAGGAAAACUCCAUACAGGAUUAUAAAGCAUGAACUUAGACAGACUUGAGCCGUACUUAGACAGACUUGAGCCGUUAUGAACCACCUUUUAAGACCACAAUUUCUUCUUAUAUGUGUGAAGUCCUUAAAAGCUUCUUCAGGAAGUUGUGAUGCAUACCAAGACUAGACUUGAUUAACCAAAAAGCAAAUAUCAAACAGAAAAUAUGUAACCUGACACACAUAUUUCACGGCCAUGGCAUGUUUAGUUCAAACAACUCACGGGGAAGUAUGAUGUAUCUAUUGUCCAGCACAACAGAAUAACCAGAACUAGAAGAACAUACCUCUCAUAGCUUUCAAGGUGGAGCAAAUGAUUGACAAGGAUUCCACAGGCAUGGAAUUACAUCUGGCAUCGAUUGCAGUAAGUUCCGGAGCACAUGAAAUGAGCUUUGACAGGAAAUUUGCAGUUUCAAUCCCACCGUAAUUUUUGCUGUAUGAGGUAACUCAGCAUGUUAAUUGUAUGCACAAGGAAUAAAAAAUGUAGGGACAAUAAGAGAGCCCUGAACCUGAUAUUGAUGUAAACAAGCUUCAGGUCCCCCAUUAUUUCAUCUUGUGCUUUCUGAAAGCCGGGAGGACCAAGAUAAUAUCAUCAAUGUCAAGGGAUUGAAGCCCCUUAGAGAGAAACUUUCCCAACAAUGCCCCAAUUUUGCUGAACAGAUAUAUAGUGGACAAAAGCAUGAAAACGAACACCCAUCAUUACAUCUGGAAGAUAUCUUGAAUAUAUAUACUAUAGUAUAAGCAGGCAUAGAAGACUCGAUCUGAAAAAUAUACACGGGUGAGGGAUACCAUCAAAAACAAAUGAGAAAGAAGGGCAUCACAAAUUCAUCAAGGCACAAGGUACUAACGAGGGACAGGAUGGACUGAUAUGAUUGAUUCUAUAUACAACUUUUGCAGCACUAAGAACUUAGAACAGUCAGAAAUUUCACUUUGUGCAUCCACCAUAGGUUAUUGCAUCUCAGUGUUUACACUAAUACAGCUAGGAUGGACCAAAAGUUAGGUAACAUUAAUUCACCAAGAAGCAACAAAACUUUAGUAUAACACGUAAAAGGAGCAGAUGGUAAAUUGAAUGAACACAAGAAUAACAGGCCAUGUCAAAAAUGCUUAGAAGGCAAAAAUGAAGAAAAAACUUCAAUGAAUUAAGGGAAGAACAGGCACUGUAAUAUUUCAAGAAAAAGAAAGCACUACACAAAACCUAAGACAAGCAGAGAGAAAAACAACUUGGGUCUUCAUUGAGAUUUAUCAGAGCCAAUAUAUAGGGAAAAUUUCUGUUAUCAUGACGUGGACCAGAUUGAUUGGAAAUUGCAUGCACAACUCCCAUAAUUAAGUUCCAAGAGAGAAUGAAAUAUCAAUCAGCCAUCAGGUAAAUCCAACCAAACCAUAAUUUCAGCAUUCCCUGCCAAGUCAAAUCGGGGACUGGCUUGAUGUUAGUUCAAUGAAAGCAUGAAAAUUCAUGCCUACAAACCUUCCAAGGUUAUUCUCUCCAAUAGAGAGGGAGGUCAGUGGCUUCUUCCAUCUUGACAGUACAUUUAAAAGUUGACUCACACUGUUGAAAGUAAGCUCACAUUGUCCCAACUUCAGAUCAAUGAGCGAAAAAGGUUUCUCUGACAUCUCAACAAAAUAGGGCAUCAUAUUCCUAUAGAUUGCAAAAUACUGCAUUAGCAGAAAGCUAGUACUUUAAAACUGUUGAAAGAAUGUGCCAGUCUACUAACUUGAUUCCAUCAUCCUCAAUAGGAUUAUCACUUAAAUCAAGACUCUCCAACUUAGGCAUGCAAACCAGCGCAUAUUUAAGAAAGUCUACGUCAUCUCUCUGCAGAUUAUUGUUCCUGAAAUUAGAAAGAAAAAAAAAUCAAAGAAUUAUGUAAAAAGCAAAGGUCUGAUAAACUUUAAGGCAGCCUCUACAACCUCAUCGUUACACUGUGGAAAAUGAAAGACAUUCCAUGCUCCAGACAUUAAUGUGAUAUCCCCUUGUCAGGUCUAUGGCUAAUUAACUCCAAGAAAGAUUUCAUUCAUCUUCAAGAAAUUUGAAUAUUUACUAAUCAUCAGGAGAUAAUGUCAUGUACCUUAGAUUUAGCACCCGCAAUGAUUGCAAUGACUUGCCUAUUCCUGAAGAUAACUGCUUGCCAGGUCUAGACGUCCAUUUAAAAUGGGAUGGCCAUCCAGACAUCUGCACUUUGCAUGUUAAUAUCCUUAAAGGCUGAUUGCCAACAAAAAUGUUUGUGGUGAAAAUCAUGUGAUACGUAUAUUAAAACUUACAUAGUUUUCUGAAAGGUCCAAAGCAGCUAUAUUAGACGAAGAAUCAAAGAGGACAUCCAAAAUCAUUUCCACAAAAUUUCGACGAAGGUGGUCAUCAGAUAAGCUUAACGAAGACAAGCACCUAAAGAAAUAAAAGCAUCUAAGAAUUUCAAACUACUCAUAUAAAUUUUCUCAGUUGACAUGCACCCUGAUGGAAACCUUGACAUGAACUUUUAAAGGAUGACUAGCAAUGCAUACAGAUUGUUCACUCUGACACUAGAGAUCAAAAGUUCUCCCUGCCAUUAUCCUAGUUCAAUUCUUUGACCAAAACAUUUUUUAAAAUUUAUCUACCUCAAUGAGGAAGUGCCUACAAACAAACAGCAACAUGUUUAAUUCCUUUGAGAGGCACGAUGUUUUUCACAAAUCCAAUAACAAAGAAGUGAACCAACUAAGUAUACCAUUAUCUUGGGAACACACUCUUGCUACGACGGACUUUGACUAAGCUAUCCAAGUUUCUUGCCUUCUUAACCAGAAACUUUAUGAAGUUUAAGCAGCAGUCCCCAAAACGAAGGCAUAUUAUGUUCUUCGAUUCAUUCUUGAGCUCAUACAUAAAAUAAUAUUGCCUUUCAUCAUAUCCAUGGAAAAUUUAGAAAUUUCAAAUGGUAGCUCACUUUAACUUUCUUCAGUACAUAAAAUAACUCAGAAUCUGACCAUUGGGUAAUACUGAUGAUAAAAAAAUAUAAUCUACAAAAAAGCUAUUAUCAAAAAGACUUGAUGGAAUUAAUUAUGAAAACCUAGAUCAUCCCUUAAACGUGGUAAGCAAAGAAUAGAAAGAUGACUCCAUCACGAGUGUAUUGGCAAUGAGUACAAAACAUGCACAAUACAAGAGAGAAUGAUAAAGAAGUUUUCAAAACAAAGCCUACUCAUUGACAGUUAGCAUGGCUGCAUGAAUCUCAUUCUGUGCGCGCACAAGAGGGUGUGCGGUGACAGAGAGAGAGAGAGAGAGAGAGAUCUUUAAAAAUACCGAAGAAUGCAAAAGACAAAGUACCUCCCUGAUGACAAGAAAGAUGCCAAACCAGCAGGUAAGGUAGAAGAACUUGUAUCCAAAAAAUUUGAUAUCCUGAUUGAGAAAUGUUCUAUUCCGUGUGUCUUGAGACCUUUGAUCCACAAUGAAUCGCAUAUAGCAUCGAUAAAUGAUGUUGAAAGCUUGCAAUGAACAAAUUCAAUAGAUUUUAGAGUUUCACUGUUUUGCUUCAGAAGUUCACAUAUGCCAUCAACCUGUCACAGAAAGCAGCCAGUUAAAAAGAUAUUAAAAAUGUACACAUUAGAUUUCUGGAAGUUUAUUGCCAGCGCUGAAUACAUGAGACAAACAUGAAGGAAAGCACACACACUUAAAGGUCAAUAAAAUGAAUAUGCCACUUAAUUUCAAAAGAAACAAUAAAACGACUGGCCAACAGAAUCAAUUUAACCUUGAUUUCAAAAAUAGAGAUGAAAAAGAAAGUGAAAAGAAAAUUAAUUACAUGAUUUUGUUUUUCUUCAUUUUUCUGGAUAGCGUAAGCUUGCCUUUUCUAACAUAACCAACAACCAUUUGGUAUCACAUAAAAACCACUAUUAUCAGUGCAACGCCCUUCGGUUAUAUUAUUCUAAUUUAUUUCACCAGUUCUAGAAACCACUCUGUUCUACUACAUAACCUACCAAAUAUUCAGCAUUGUAAACACCAAAUGUGAUGAUCCCCUUUUUAAGGAAAUAUGCCAGCAACCCUUACCAUUUUAUGCAAGCAUGGAACAAAAUGUGCUUAGCUCAUAAAAGUUACAAAACACUUGGAACCAAAAACAAACAUCAAAACUUACAAAACUUACAUGAUCCUUCAACUUUAUCCAGUGUAUCUCCAAAGUUUCCAAGUUACUGGUCCUUAAUAAAUCCUGCAGAUAUACUCAUGAUCAGAUAUUCCCCAAGGAGAUGAAAAGAUGCGUCAAACUGUCAAUCAGAUUCCGUCAAGAGCUUUACCUAACAUUGAUGUACAACAGCCUAAUUUGAAAAGCAAAAUUCAUAUACUUUUUAGUGUACAUUUAAUAAAUGGUAAAUGACUUUUCCUGCAAACAACAGGAUAAUCAUAGACAUGUAAUCAGGCAGGCAUAGAAAAAUAUGCAGAAUGUAUCACUCUUAGUUCAGAAGCUAAAUCAGCUUAAGAAUACUUGGACACAUUCAUUGCAUUUACUAAUUUCAAUUCAAAAUUAAUUACCUCAUGUACGUACAACUACUGAAUAAGUCAUUUUCUUCUUACAAGAUAUUGAUAGAUUCAUUCACUCAUAUUCAUUUACAGGGGAACACAUCUACCAUAAAUGAUUUGGGAACCAUGUUAAUCUGCCGAUGGUCAAAGUUAAAGCAUUAAAAGACAUCUCAAAGUUCACAAAAAAAAAAGGAGCACACGGUAGCAGUAAAGAUGACUUCCAAUCAUGAAGUCAAAAUCUACAUUUAGAAGAUACCAAUCCACACAAAUACAAGAUUAUAGUCAUGACAGGCAUUCUAGUUAAAGCUUCAAACUCUAUGGCAGCUCAGGAUAUAACAGGGACAUUUUAAAAGAAUUUUACAGCUAAUAAGAUGAAACAACAAAGACAGCAAAAGAAUUUCAGAAUCCUGUAAUGGAGUAAAAUUAGAAGCAAUUAUAAUGAAGUAGGGGGAGAAAAUUGGAGUUUGUUUACUUAAACAAGCUGCAGGAGUCAUAUUGAUUCAGAAUUUUAUCACGGUGUUAGGGAUGCCACUGGCACUUCUAUCAUUUGCUAUUCUUCAGCAUAACUAUCAAAUUUUCUUUUGGGGCCAUUUAUCUAUGCCAGUAAACAAAGUUCGUAGCCUAAAGAAAUCUAAUCUUUUUAUGAGGCAAGAUACAGCUAGAAACUUCUUUGUCAAAUGCUCUGUUUGGUGCUCAAACAAACCUAGCCUUAAGCUCCUUUUGGCAUGUUCCAGUCUGAAAGGGCAAAAUAAACUUUUUCAAAAACCAGGAAGCUCUUCCUACAGAGCGCACUCCCUCUUUCCUCAAUGUCCACUACAAAGCUCAAAGGAAUCUACCGUACUAUCCUCAAUAUUACUCAGGCCACCAAGAAUACCGCAUUUUACUCAGUUUUAAUGUGUUUUCGCAUACUCAGAGUCCAUUUCAUCUAUACUAAUUAUCCUUCAUUACCAAAGCUACUUAGAGCUAUAUAGGUUCACUAGCUAUUCUUGCCGAAUCACCCUGAAAAGUUUUGAAUUCUGUUUUUUACUGCAUAUCAGAACCAAUUAUAUGCCAAUAAUUAACCUACAGUACCAUUGAAGACAUUGUUAAAAAGGAUCUACAACAUUGCAAUGGCCUUUUAUGUAUGAGUAAAGCAAGGAAACCAAAAUUUUAAACAAACACCUCUAACUAAUUCAUACAGUAUUUAACCAAAACUAUCAAUCUCACACCGUGAAUUUAACUUACACAAAUUUCUGGAAGGCAAAGAGCACUGGGGAGUCUCAGGCGUCUGCAACAAAGAAAAUAUGGACCGAUGAAUCUAACUCUCAAGAGUUUAGCACCAAAAGAGCAAAUGAUUGAUACAUUAUGUGCCAGAAAACAUACUUGUGCUCUAGUCUUUCAUUUUUCUUAGCAGUAGUAGCAAUUAAUGAAAACUAAGUAUACACAAGAACCUUUAUCAGCCUUAAAUAGAUCCCACCAUAUAUGCCAUUGUUCUUGAGAUAUCGAGACAAAAGUCACAUUGGGUUUGUUCUCGGUUGAUUUUAGAUCACAAAUUGUGAUUUUAAAUAAUCAGUUUUUGUGAUGUUCUCAUAUGCUUUUGUGUUCAGAAUAUAGAUUUUUUAAUAAGCAAAAAAGCUAAAAUCCAUAAACAAUCAAAGAGUAGCUUUUACAAAUUCUGAUUAUUCUCUACAAUCACUCUCCAUAUUCAGAUUUUGCAAAAUCUAAAGCAAGCGAGAACAAGGCCAAAACCUGGCAUAUAAUCCAAAAUGUUGGCAGUGAUCUGAGAACUUUGAGUAGUCACAUGCUGAACUGUUCAUAUGCUCCCAAUACCCUAUGCAUCUUACUAUGGUAGCUGCAUGGACCAAAAGCCAUGUAUUUUAAGUGGCUCUCUGUUUUGACGAUUAACAGAUUCAAAUAAAAAUUAUAAAACAAUUUAAGCAUUUGACGGAAAGUGAGCGAUAGAAAAGGAAAAACAUUGACGAAAAAUCGCAAUCUUAUACUCCUCAGUAAACUCGAUAGGGGCUCAGUCUGACAGGGACUUAAGUUCUUUAUGAGCCAGUUAAUCAAGAUAGAUAAUCCUUCUAGCCAUGAGAACAUAUUUAAUAGAGGAGCCUUAGAAGAGUUUCAGCAGGCGGUUACCAACCUUAAGUUUCACCUAAACAGACCAGUUCACUGCUGAGAUCACAAGCACGUGCAGAGGAAGAAUUCAUGUCAACUAGAAUGUCAUUUUCAGCCAAAAAAGUUCAACAUGAAACCAGGAUCCCAAAAAUAAGAUUAGAGAUGUUACCAUACAAUAUAUAAGUAUUACAGAAAACAUAUCUUACAAUCACAGGCGGAGUCAAAUAUGAAGGCAGUGUUAAAGCUAUCAGGUUUCUCGUGAAUUCAAUUUUCAGCAGUUGAAUAAUCAGUAUGUAGGCUAAGACCCACAGUUUUAACCUACUACAACUUCAAAAAUUAACCAAGUUCAUCUAUUAGGCAAACUAAGUGAUAUGCUCCCUUGAUCACUAAAUCAUUUUAACCAAGAACAGAAUGCACAAAGAGCAGCACUCAAAUUUAAGAAGACAAAACCAUGCAUACCUGGGAUUUUUAUCACUCCAAUUCCAUCACUAAAAGAAGGGACCAUUGCUAUCUCUGCUGCUGCAUCGAGGCAACUGUUCUCAGGUUGACAUAAUAAAAGUAUAAGGAUUACAGUGACACAACAAAGGACAAAUUAUUCUAAUAAGUCCCAUUCAAUUAGAUGUAAAUACUUCUGUAAAUGUCUCUCCCAGUACAUCUGCUGCCAAUCAUCUCUUAGUUCAUGCUUUGCUUCAAAUUGUUUUGCCAACCAACUAAUUGAAUGAAUCUGAGCACCACAAUCACCCCAACGCACCUCAUACAGCUUCUUCCAUGCUCCCUCAAAGUUCAACCAUCUGCCAGGUAAUGCAUAUGCUGUGAGACUGGCAAACUUCUACUUGUUCUUAAUCAUUUUUAUAGCUCUAUUCUGAACAUCCCUAUAAUUCAAAAUACACAUGCAAAAUAUUAUUUAGAUAGAUCUACAACCAAAUCUUUCUUCCAGACCUCUUACGCUUCCUUUGACUUCCAGAAUUUUCAUCCUGAGGUCCAUUAUGCUGCAUUCGUGGGAUGGCCUGCACAAAAGGACUCAUAUUCUUGUCAUGACAUAAGUCGUCUCUUUGCAUAACCGCUCACCAAGAACAAAUGCAAACCAGGAAGAGCUGAGGUAAAUUUUCCAUCAUUUAUCAGCUUGCCAGAAUAAGUGGUGACACCAUCUAACUGUUUUACAGCAGCUACAACCAUAUUCUAUUAGAAUUAUACUUUUAAUACAUGACCAGAACUCAAAUGAACAAGACACGACUGAAAUAAUAAAUUUUCUCCAAAUUUCCAGAAAAUUCAUUCUUGGUUCUCGAGCAUUUGCUUCAUUUGAAUCAUCGUCACAAAGCCCUUAUUUGAUUUCUUGCAGUAAUAAAUAAAUUUCAUUAACCUACAUAAGCACCGCUUAUGCCAUGAUCCCGUCCCCGCAACGUGUCUAAACAAAAUAGAAAAGGCAACUAUUGAAAGCCCCUUUGAGUGAUUUGGUUUCACCUCCCCCCAGCCCUUCCCAACCCAAAAAAACCCCCCCAACAAAUUUGCUUUCUAUCCUUUCCUACCAGGACAGUUAAAAAAUCUGAAAAUUUCGAAAUUUAUACUUCGCAAAUUCAAAACUGACAAAUACAUUAACUCAUUCGCAUAAAAACACAAAUACAUCGAAUGCUGGCUACAACUAUUACACAUAUCAUCAAAUUCAGGCUAUACACACAAAACAAAUAGUAGAAUUAGGAAUUUAGAAACAUAUACUGACAUGUUUCUGUGUAAAUUUUCCAAAGCCAAAGGAGUGAGGCCCGGCAACAUCGAAUCGAAUAGUUCAGGUGGAAUUUUAUACAGAAUUGCCAGAAAUUCAUCAUCACAACCUCCUGAAAUGCAGAAUUAAUUUAUAUAAAACAAAUUAGAGAAAAAAAUUCUCAUUGCUGAACCGAAAUUUUCAUCGAUUAUUCAAACUAUGAUGAAGAAAGCUGAUUACCGCGUAAAAGUUCAUCGACAAUUAAAUUCAGGCAUAGACUAAGCAGAGAUGGAGCUUCCGCCAUUUCUUCUCAGUGAGUAGGCUACUAUUUUGAAACAUACGACACCGUUGGAGCUUUUCUGCUUUCUGGAGGCCUUUUUCAUUUUGAUUUCCAUUUUUGGUGACAGCAGAAUUUACAUAUUUGGUCCCUUAAAACUAUGAGGUUAUCAGUUUAGCAUAUUCAACUUUUGGAUUUGGAAUUUCUCCUAGCUAGUUAAAGUGACUGAAUUUUUCUGCAAUUCAGUCCACCAAUGAGGGAUUUAUGGAAUAAAACUUAAUGGGUUAACACUUAAACAACCAUCAAUUCAACAUUUGCUAAGAAAAAUUUGUGCUUAUGUACACAUCAAUUUGUAUUUUUUUGGGUAAAUUACGAUUUAUCUCCCUAUGAUUUAGUUUUUUACAUAACAUUCCCAUGGUUUCACAAGUUAUACAUAACCUCCUCGUGGUUUGAAUUAAAAUAUCAAAAUGACGGAAAUGAUCAUUCAUAACGGAGUCACCUAAAAUGUCAAAAAUACUUUUAUAUAAAGUUGAAAAUUAUUUAUUAACUCAGAAAUGUUAUGUGUAUAUUUGAAAAUCAUAAGGGGGUUAUAUGGUAAAAUAUUAAAUCAUACGGGUUAAUGUAUUAGUAUGUAUUUAUAAGGGUAAUUUCGAUAUUUUUAAAAGUCUCGUUACAAAUGACUAUUUCCGUAAGACACUUUAAUAUAAACCAUGAUAGAAUUAUUUAUAAUUUUUGAAAUUAUAGGGAGAUUAUGUAAAAAAAAUACUAAACUACAGCAGAUAAAGUAUAAUUUGCCCUCUUUUUUCAGAUUUUUCCGGUGAGUGCACAAACGUCAAUAGAUAAAACACAUUUUUUCCAUCUAUAGCAUAAACACUUGUAUCGGUUGGCUCUUCACGUUUACGCGCGCCUUUCUUUUGACUAUGUUCAUAUCGUGUAUUUGUGCUGAACAGUAGUAAUUGCAUUGCUGAGACUCGUCUCAUUUCUGCAAGUACUUAUAUAUUGGUGGUGUUGCUUUAUACAAAGAAUGUCAGUUUUAUUGGUGGUAUUGCUGAGACUCCUCAUUUUAUAUAAAAUCAAAUGCUUCAAAAUCAGAAGAAACUAUUUAUUUUAAAGCUUUCUUUGGCAAUUUUUACCCCCGCAAUGAUAACAAUUGUAUAACUUAUUCUAUUCUAAUCUAUUGAGGAGGAGAGUCAAAAGAAACUUGUGUGUUAGGGACUAAUAGGUAUACAGACUUGACUAGAUCAAGGGGGGUGUUAUAACACCACUCUUGGAUUUUUUUCACUACAAAUGAAGUCUAAGGAGACUUGUGUGUGUGUAUGUGUUAAGGACUAGUAGGUAUACAAAUUUGACUAGAUUAAGGAGGUGUUAUGGCACCACCAUUGGAUUUUUUCGCUACAAAUGGAGCCUAAGGAGACUUGUGUGUUAGGGACUAGUAGGUAUACAAAUUUGACUAGAUAAUGAGGUGCUAUGUACCACCAUUGGAUUUUUUUCGCUACAAAUAAAGUCUAAAGAGACUUGUGUGUGUGUGUGUUAGGGACAGUAGGUAUAUAGAUUUGACUAGAUUAAGAGUGCUAUGGCACCACCAUUGAUUUUUUUUGCUACAAUGGAGCCUAAGGAGACUUGUGUGUUAGGACUAGUAGAUAUACAGAUUAUACCAAAAAGGUGUUAUGACACACCCUUAGUUUUUUGCUAUUUGGUUUAAACCCCGACCCAAGCUCAUCAAGAGGGACUUAAGUCCUCCCUGAUGGCCAGGGAACUGGAGUGUUUAUUUGGCAAUUGAUAUGGUACCAAAAUAGAAAGGGGGAAGAGAAACAGUUUGGUCCUCUUUCGGGCCAAGAUCACGACCUGUGUCGCAGAACAGAGAAGGAUGCCAUUAUUUCUACUAUACUCGCAUUUAGUAGCUAACUGAAAACUCCCAAACUCGUACCACUAUUAGGGGUCCAUAUCCCCACAAUUUAAGUGCAAGAAAGCAUUCUUUUUUACCAAAAAAGAAAGUUUAUUCCUCCUUUUUUUUCUUUUCUUUUUCCGUUUUUUCUGUUAUUCAUGAGCUACAGCUGAAUCAAUUCACUGUAGUUUUUGUCCAUAUGCCAUGAUUUGGUGCACAAACUUGGUAAUUGGGAGCCAUAUUGGUGUCACCAGAUGGCAAGAAAACGUUAAUUAUUGAGAACUUUGAACGGUACACUUGACUUUAUUCUUCUUGGUGGCAAUAAGGACAUGAGGCAGACAAUUGACUUUUCACAAAUUCUGCAAAACGAAGUUUCCUAGCAUCUCCUCUUGUAAAUUACACAAAUUACUCAGACAAAUUAUAAGUACAGAAAUAAGGGGUUUUAAACGGUACAAAAGUAGGAGAAGGCCGGAUAAAAUGGUAACGUAAGAGGCAUUAUAAAUAAAUAGGAGAUCAUAAAUUCAAAAUUUUUCGAUCGAAAAAAAAAAAAGAGAGUGCAAAAGUAAGAUAUGCUAUUUCAUACAUUUAUCGCCCUUUACAUUAUCUGCUCCUACUUUUGAUGGCCUUAAAGCAAUCUUGGACAUUGUCGUCAUCCUUAAAAGUUCAGAUUCCAGGAUCAGAUCCUUUCUGAAAAAGCACACUUUCCUGAUGCCCAAACAAAAAAGCUUUAUUUCCAAAAGAAAAUCUAAUUCUUCUGUGUUGUUAACUUUUUACCAGCAUACAUAUGCAAUUUUUCUUGUCACAGGCUUGGAACAUAAUAAGGAAAAUGACCAAUACCGUUGACAAAUCCAUCUCUCUCUCUCCCUUUUUUCUUUUUUUUUUUGGGUGGCUGCUUCCAAAAAUGCAUGUGCUGAUACACAUGAUGGAAGCUUUUCCAGCAAAUGGUGGAGCCAUGAACUAUAGGAAAAGUGCAGAACUUUGUUGUUGGGACCCCAUGCCAACUUAUAUUGUUGAAAUCCUUGUACACUGUCCAACAUUUGCCUCAGCUUAAGAUUGCAAAUUCAAAAUCAAAACAAUUUAGUAACGUUAACUUGUUGAAUUACACCCAAAAAAAAAAAAGAAGAAGAAGAAAAUGUAUGAUUGAAAAUCUUAUUCAAUAGAUUAAAGUAAAAAACACGGUGCUUCUUCUCAGACGUCUGUCUACACCAGAUGUCAAAACAGAUGCCAAUUGUCCUACAAUUGCACAUGCUGCUUUCGUCAAUGUAAAAUGGUUCUUGUAGUUUCUCUCUUUGCUUGUUCUACCAAAGAAUGCAAUUCACUUUUGUAAAGCACAUAAAGAUUAUUAGAUAAACCCAUGCUCAACAGGAUAAUCACACUAUCUAGCUAAGAAAUUAUUGCAAUAAUUGUCAUUCUCCCCCAUUUGCUGCUUGAACUUUUUGUCACUUGCAAGAUUGUUGCCUGAACCCAAAUCUCUCAUUCAGAAGAUCAUAUUCCACGUUGUAAUUUUGCAUCUGAAAGCUGCCCAAAAUGAUUGAUGGCCCUGUUGUCAGGGCCGGACCAAUAUUGUCUGUCACCAUAGUCAGGCAAAGAACCUCAUUACCACCAACAAUGAGAAGUAAUUGGCUAAUGGCAACUUCAUCUCUGCACCUCCCUUGAAGCUGAACUUCAGCUCAGGCAACACAAUGGAAUCAUGCCCAGAAAGAUUGAAACAUGGCCUUAAACCAGUUAAGGACUCGAUAUUUUCUGCUCUUCUGUAUAGUUUCACUUGUUUUAUGAAUUCACCGGCCACAACUUCAAAAACAGGUGAACUCAUAAGGUAACGUUGAGCCUGAAUCGACUAUAGUUCCACCAUUGCCAUCAGAAUCAGGGCUAAGUACUUGUAUGGAAUCUUUACUUUCUGCAUUCCAACACUGAUUUCCUUAAACCAACAUAGUAGUAAACCUGAAGUGCACUUUUCCCAGCCACAAUUGGGUUUUUAGCCAACGGGGUGUAGCUAAAAUUUUCAGUCUUUUUACCAGAAUUGGAGUCACCAUCCAACACCAAGAAGCCACUCUCGCCAGUGUCAUCAAACCUGCGAGAGAGAAGACAAUAAGAGAACUUCUUGAGGCCAAUUGGCUUGGCAAUGAGGCAGGUCCCCUUCCAAAACCAGCUAUUCCUGCUGGUUGUCUGGAUGAGAAAAGAGAGCAGCCCACAAGAAAGUUUGGAACUUUCUUGUUAGGCAAAUCCAGAGUUUCAACAAUUGCUAUUCCACCAGUUGAGCCUGAACCAUAAAGAAUAAGAUAAGGUGGACAGAUUUGAGUGCAGUUCUUUGCACUAAGCGAUUGGCAUUCGCCGCAACUUGUCUGAGGAUCAAAGUUUGGAUGAAUCCAACGCAUUUCUUAUUCAAGCAUCCAACAAUCUUAAUUGAUGAUGAUUGUUUAGGACUGAACGAAGUGAUCCCCGUGCGCCUGGAAAUGAACAGUUUUUACAUGGUAUUUUUGGUACAUGGAAACCAAGAAAGCCACUACCAGUAUCCAUGACGAGGGAGAUUGUCUGAGGUGGGGUGCCAAAACUGAGUGAAAUUGAGUAGCCACCAUAGCUGUGAGGCAGCAGAGGAGUAGUGCUGGUGAAGGCAGUACUGGAUAGUUGAGGAUUUUUUAUGUGGUGGGCUCUGGCUAAGGAGGCUGAAGCUAGAUGAAAAGCUUUUGGUACAGAUCUGCAUAUGAAUCUGUGCUGGAAAAUGAAAGAGGUAUAGUUAUUGGGUGGGUGAUGAUGAGGAAAUCUGCAGGCUUGCAAUAGAAAGACAAGAGAGAAAAAGGGGAGAGAGCAGGAAAAGAAAGGCAUCGUUCUUGAAGUUUGUGCCAUGAUUUGGAGAUCAGAGAAGAUAAACUAAACCAAUAAUACAACUACUACAAGACUAGUGUUGUAUUAGUACUAGUAAGAGCUGUAUUUUGUUGUCUCAAGUAAAGCACAAAAAGGACAAUAAAGCUUAGGCUAUUGGCUGAUGACAAACGCCACAAUGCUGCCUCUGAGGUUGCACAACUGUCCUCUUGCAUGUGUUUUAGUGUUUGUACCACUGAAUCUAUGCUAACCGCAAAGUUGGAAAGGGGGCUUAAUGAUAACGUCGGUGUGGUUGAAAAUCUUGGAAACCUGCUGAAAAGCAUUCAAUGUUCACCAACUUAGGCAUUUAGCCGUUGUAAAUAGUGUUCAAAAUCAAGCAGUAACAAUUCUAAAGACUCAAACCCCGAUCCUGCACUUUGUUUUACAUAUUUAGGCUGAGAAGAAAAUGAGAGUCAAGGGUUGAAGUCUGCGCUUUACAUUUGGCCAUACUCCGUUUAUAAAGUAGACAUAAAUAUGCUUAUGCUCAAUAUUAGUUUUUACUGAACUGAUGAAAACUCAACUUCCAUGCAUACUUCCCUAUCAUGCCUAACUUCAACAUCACGUUCAUUAAAGCAGCAAUUGAUGCCGCAAGUGACUAACUUUGAACAGAUUUGGCGAUGAAGUUCUUGUCCGAAAGCGCAAUGGGAUAAUGAUUACCCAAUUUAGAGAUUUCUUAAGCUCAUUGGUUUUGUUAGUUAAUUUGUUUAGUUUGUCUAUAUUUGUGGCACUGGGAUAUCUCCAGCCUAUAGACUUUAGAGGGUCUCAGAUAACUUUUCAAAAUCGUUUCUUGUGGUAUUGAAGAUAUAAGAUUUAAAGGAUUUGGUUGAAUGUAACUCUCACAUUAGCUGUGUAUGCAAAUUAAAAAUGAAUACUGUUGGAAGCAUUAUGCGUUAGUAUAAGAGAUUGUUUCACACGUGAUUCCUCACAUUGUUUGGCUGGUUUCGACCAUGGUAAGAAUUUAUAGCAAUUCAACCCCCAGCAAUACAAAACGGAUCUCUCACUUACGUUUCCUCCCCAAAUCACCUAACCUAACCCUCCUCAGAAGGGGAAACACCAAACCCAACCCUCCUCAGAAGGGAUACGGCUAAUCGAACAAUAGUUCUUGUUGCCUUUUGCCACCAGCUUUUCAGCCAAAUUAUGUACGAGGCAUGAUUAAAGGAACUAAAGUAUGUGCUCAUGUGUAUCUUGACCUUGCAGACUGAUCAUACCUUGUGAUUUGGAUGAUUCUUUUCUUUGCAAGUUACAAUGAGGAUAGCUUCAACUCUAAGUUUACCCUUACCCCUUCCCAAGAAAAACAGUUGUUACAGUGAAAUUCAUAAAUCUAGUGGCAUGCAUUGUGGUCAUGCAUAGAACGAUAGAGGUGCUAAACACUUUUAGAAACUUUAAGGCAAAAGCACUAAUGGCAUGUGAAAUUAACAAGCGGCAUCAACAACUAUCUAACUAUGCAACAAAUUGCUUCCGAAGUAGACAAACUGGUGCUUCACAAACGAUCCCAUGUAUCUCUUCAUCAGAUAUAGAAGACAAACAGAUAAAGUAUCAUAGGACCUUCCCGUUUGGAUUGUUUUUAUAGAAACAUGUACUGUAACUAUUUGACGUAUGUGAAGUAAAAAGAUGAUUAAAAAUUGUGUUUAUGAAAAACGUUAAGACUUUUCCUUAGUAAAUAGUAACCCAAACAAGAUAAAGAGAGAAUUUAAACCAUAUCAACAUAUCUUGUGCAUGUGCCUCCUUAGUCACACAGCAGUGCCCGUCAAUUUUGCGUUAGUCACUGCUUGGUUUGGGCUGAUUUACCUGUUAAUAAUGUUCUAAAUAUUGCUAAUGUUAAUGAACAUUUCUUGGCUUAGUAAUUACAUUUUCAUUAGGUUCCUUUCCUUGACUCUUUUCCAUUGUCUUCUCUUAAUCCCACUUCCUUUGAAAAAACGCCCUACCUCAAGCCAUUACUACCACUGCACAAAGCUUGUACACCUCCCAGCUAGCUAGCACCACUUUCUGUUGUCUUUUUUUUUUUUUUGUCGAUCCAGGGGUAUCUGGGUCAAUUCUUACGGGUCCAACAAAUUUCCUGCGGCCUGAGCCCGACGCCCCAACCCGACCAAGGCACGAUAAGUGCACAGGCGUCUCCAUAGUGCAAUUUCGAAUUCGAGACCUAAAUGUCCCAAGGAACAUUGUUACCAUGUGGCUAAACCCAUGGGGGCACCACUUUCCAUUGUCCGCCUGUGCUUUUUUGUGGUGAAUGUAGCCUUUAGCAACAGUGUGGCCAUCUUUUUCUCUAGGCAAUAGUAGACAAACUACUAUUUCGUCUAUAGUGCAAAUUGCUUCACACCAAAGCCCAUAACAAUAGCCUAAAACACUUUAUUAUUGCUUGAGAUUGAUGCCACGAUGCCCAUGCUACAAUUGGUGUUGGACUAUUGGGUACGGGAGCAUGGGUUUAAUACACAUACACGUGAACUGUCAGUUUCAAGCCGAGCUGGGAAAUGGAAACCUACAAUAGUUGCUCUUUGUCUGCUACUGUAUGAGUUCUCAAUUUUGUUCCCAGUUCAUUUCUUUAUGGGGAUAUGGGGACCCUUCACCUCGAUUAUUAUGCAGUAAAAGAGCGUUGAACCAAAAACUCAGUACCUCUGUAAUGGUAUUUAUUACAGCCUAUAAUGAGCAACAUUGAUUGAAGUGGAUAAACUUAAAAGUUGCAAAUUAAGGUGAAGUUAGCUAUGCUAAUCACUAAUUUGUUUUUUAUAUGGUAAAGAAUUAGUAGAAAAGUUAAGGAAAAAUCGUAUUCUACUCCCUUUAAUUACUGUCACGAUUCUACUCCCUUUAAUUGGCCAAAAGAAUCACCAAAGCAACUUAUUUUUGAUGAAUUCUUUAUUGUUAGGGAUGACAAUUGGACGAGUGCCUGCGAGUGCCCAUCCUAUGGGGGGAGUAAUGGGGUGAGAGAUAGGGCGCGGGCAGGGGCCGGGAUGGGGGGAAUUUUUCUUCCUCCGUUUUAAACGAGGAGAGAAAAAUUUAUAUUAAUUUUUCUCCCCCGCUUCAAUUUAUUAAUAUAAAUAAAUAUAAUAUAUUGUAUAAUCUAAUAAUAAUAAAUUUAGAAUAUUUGACAACUAAACAUAACCUAUAUCCCAUUUCUAUUCAAAUUCCUAAUUGAUAUUUGACACAAAUAUGUUAUACAUUUUAUGAGUAUUCCCAAAUAUUAUCUAUGCAAUCCAAUUAAGUUUCUUAAUUUUCUUGGUGUUUUAUUUCAACAAUUUUCUUUUUUCACUUUUUCCAGUUUCCUAUUUUAUUUUAUUCUUUGAAUUUAGUUUUGAUCUAUUGAAUAAAAACUUUUUUAAAAAAAUAAAUUAUCACCCACAAACACCUGCAGGAAAAGCAGGGUGGGGCGUGGGGGAACGGGGGCGGGGGACGAGCGGGAAUGGGGAGAGUUUUUUGGUAACAGAGUGGACCUGUUGCCAUCCCUAUUUAUCGUUUUUGCAUGGAGGACCAGUUGUUCUAAAAUUGUCAAGUCUACACCAAUGUUUUAAAAACCGGACCGUUAAUCGAACCGGUGAAGUGAAAGGGUCGAGGUUCAACCGGUCGGACCGGUUCAACCUCGGUUCAAUGAAUUUUUUUAAAAAUAAUUUAUAUAAAUAUAUAUGUGCACAAAAUAAACAUGUAAUGGAUAAUUUAAUACUUUAUAUGAUGAAAAGUUUACUAUUUUGAAUAACUUGGAUUUUUAAAAAUAAAUUUUUUAAAUUAUAAGUUAAAACAAAUAAAUUUCAUCUCAAUUUCAAUUAUAUCUACCAAAAAAAUCUUAAAUAUAAUCCAAAAAUAUCACAAUAUUUGAAAUUAUACAAAAUUCACGUCUAUGAGAAUUUAGACAUUGUGAACUUAAAUUUUAAUUUACAUUUUGGAAUUUAAAUUUACAAUUUAAAAAAGGAAAUUUGGAGUUCGAAGAAAAUCAAGAGAAUUGAAAAUAGAAAUGCAAAUUUGAUAAGAAACAAAAAAUUAGAUAAAAGUGAGUGGUUGUGGUAUUAAAUAAAUUGGGUUAAAGAAAAAUAAUUCUUUUUUAACUUUUUUAAAUUUAAUGGACAAAAACAAAAUUAAAAUAUGGAAGAAAACAUCAAUAAAUUAAAAAUAAAGAGGUUUGAUUAAAAAAUGAGUGGCAAAAGAAAAGAUGAUAGAGAGAGAGAGAGUGUGUGUGUGUGUGUGUGUGUGUGUUGAAGAUUAAAAAGAAAGAGUCAUGAAAGGAUGAUAUUUUGUGAAAAAAAUGGAACAAAAGAAAUAUGAGUGUUUGUUUUAUAUAAAUAAGUUAUCAAAAAAAACUAAUAAGAUGUGAUAGUGCAACGGUUACUACAUUGGUCUUCUAUUACAAAGAUCUUGAGUUCGAAUCUUGAUAACUACAUUUUGCAAAAAAAAAAAAAAAAAAAAAAAAAAACUCAAAAACCGGAAAUAACCGGUUCAAAUCCGGUUCAGCGGUUUAGCGGUCCGACCGGUUUUGACCGGUUUCUUGACAAAGUCAAACUUGGCAUUGAACCGGACCGGAACCAUGGCCGGUUCGCGGUUCAACCGGUCGAACCGGCCGGUCCGGUCCGGUUUUCAAAACACUGGUCUACACCAUGCCCCUGACAAUAUGCUUUUCUCUAUCAAGCUGGAAAACUAGGGCGUUGUUUGGAUUACGGGAAUGGGACGGAAAGUAAAAGGGAACAACGAGGGAGUUGGUCUUCUGUGUUUGAUCAAUAUUUAAGGGGAAAGGGGAAAUAAUAAGGAGCAAAACGGAGAGAAACGGAAGGAAUGACGAGCUCUUUUUAAUAUACUUUCUGUUCCUUCCCCUUUCCAAGCAAUAUAUCUGUCUGUUUUCUUUUCCUUCCUCCUCUAAUUGAAUUAGCCUAUCCUUCUUAACUUUCUUUUCAACUGGGGUAGCAUCAUUCCAUUCCUUCAAUAGCUACGAUGUAACAACUCAAUUAAAUUGAAUGAGUGACCAAGCUGAUAGAGACAAAGUGACAAUAAGAAGGUAAUUUCACAGCAGUUAUUAGAAAUAGCCAUAGAGAAUUAUACAGUGGAGAAAAACAAGAAUGUGUAGUAAGAGACAUGCACCGAACCAGAAUACAGAGAAUCAACAGGAAAUGAGCUUCUUCCAUCAUGCCAGAAACAUCCGGAAUACCUAAAAUAAAUAUAUGGUUAAUUAGUCUUUGCCAUUUUUCUAGCCAGAAACCGUUCCUUUGCGGCAGCUA